UGAAGUGAACCAUUUUGAAUUGGAUGAAUGGCCUUGUCUAGGUUCUGUGCGUAGUAGACUCUAUGGAUCUCUGAUUUCACACUAUCACUGGAUGAGUAAAACUAUUCUCUGCUCAAGUGAGCGUCGCCUGUUUGCUUUGGGAACUCGUGUGCGAACCGGUCUCGAAAUACUGUAACCACAGGGAAUGACGGAUACUAUUUGCUGUAUUUUGCUGAAUAUUUUUUGCAUUCUUUGGUCUCUGCUCUUGCGAACCUGGAUGUAUCUGCUGAUCAGUGCUUAGGCCCAGUUUCUCAAUGAUUUGCUGGGAGACGCGCUUGUUUUGUUUUGAUCGGUAUCGAUUUGUACCAGGCCCUUGCAGAUUUUUGCUUGCUCUGUUCAUGUAUCGUUUACAUAAAGCGUAUGGGAGGUGUAAGCCCGUAACCAUUUGGCCUUCUGCUUGCAUCCUCAUUGCAUUGCAGGAGGAAAGAGCGGGCUGAGAGAUGAUGUGUUUUCCGUUUUGUCCGUGCCGUUGUUGGUGGCUGCUCUCUUGCGUGUAAAUACAGUACUGAGCCGUAUAGAUAUGGACCUUGGUCAGGACUUGGCAUGCUUGCAGAUGUGGUUGGUGUGCAUGGCACCACAACUUAAAUGGGUGACGACGACGGGACGGAGGGGUAAAUGAGUAAUUGAUGUUUGCAGAUGCUUGUCCAGAUAUUAAAUGCCAGACUUUUAAUACCAGCGAACAUGCUCGUCUCUACAUCCCGCCAUCUCCAGCGGUUCGUCCCCCAGGGCGCCUAAAUAGAGCGGCCUGGGGGCGUGCCGGCGCUAGUUCGGCCCCUGGGGGCGAGCUAGCUCCCAGUCACGCCCCCACGCGCCGGCCUCAGGAUGCGGGAAAUUCAAACUUGGUCGUUCCCGCUCUCAAAAGACGCCGCAAAUCCGGCGAUCGGACGUAGUCUGGCGUUACAAAAAACAGAGCGCCGCCGUCUCGGCGGGGUCGGUUCACUCGGCGGGGUUGGUUCCAGGUGUUGGCGGAGUCGGCGUGCGCGAGCUCGGCGAGGUUGGUUCCAGGUGUUGGCGGAGUCGGCGUGCGCGAGCUCGGCGGUGUCGGAGCUGCUUUGGUGCUGGGCUGCGUCGGCACGGCUUCGACACUGCUGGGCGGCGAUGUAGAGGCGCUCGGGCUUGGCGUCCGUGUGGUCGUUGGCGUCGUCGGCGUCGUCGGCGUUGCCGUCGGCAGCUCGUUCAGGAUGAGGCCGCGCUGCACCAGGUACCACGCCUUGAGCUUCUCCUCGUUGCUCUGGAGCAUGUCCGCCCCGCCCAUCAGAAAAGCCAUGUCGGUGUUCCUCUUCUUCGCGGCGACGUUCGUCCGGAGCGGGUUGAGCUUGAUGGCGUUGUUCUUCAUUAGCGCCGACCACCGCGCCUCGGUCUUCUCUUUAUGUAGAACGGCCCGGGCCUGGGCGUCGGCGAGGCAAUGCUCGAUGGACUCCUGCACUCGCGCGGUUGCCGCGUCGGCGUUUUUCCCUUUCUUUGACAAUUUGUGGCCGUCCGGCCGUCCCUCUGACGCGCCCGGAGUCGUCGCGUCCGGCUUGUAUGUCUCCUUGGCCUUGUCGAGGGCACGCCGGACUUCCGCCCACUUCUCGCACUUGUCAAUGCGCUUGUAGACGUGGAUGUGCUUGAAGUCGGCGUCUUGGUUGUCGCCCCGAUACAUGGCGAACAUACGCAGCAGCUGCGCGGAGGGACGAACAGUUGGCGAACGGCGGGCGUAGGGGACGAAGAUAUGCGGGCGAACAGCGUGCGUACCUGAUCCUCAACGCUGGCGCCGCUCUCCGGGUGAGCCGCGACUUCCUCAACGAUUCCAUGCCAUUUGUUGCAUGCCAACUGGAUACGCCCCCAAUGGUUCGCCAUCGCCUUGGAGCCGCGCUGCAUGUAGACGCCUUUGAAGUAGGGGUCGACGAGUUUCCGCUCGUCGAACUCGGCCUUGAUGCGGUCCUAGUACGUCUCGAAGCUCUGGUUCGCGCCGGUGGUCGGGUCGAGGCAGAUGAUUUUCCAUGCUUCGGCGAGGCAUUCCUCCUCCUUGGACGUCCACUUGAUGCGCGGUUCGCCCGACCUAGCCGCCCGCUUCUUCUUCUUCUGGCGCCCCUUCGUCGAAACAGGAGCCGGUUCCUCCUCCUCGUCGUCCUCCUCCUCCUCGGGUUCCUGCGCGUCGUCGCCAUAGACGUAGCCGAGCUCGGUCUCCAUGUCGCCGCUGAGGUCCACUACCUCGUCCUGGGUGGCGAACCCGGGAGACGAGGCGGCCGCGGCCGAUCCUGUCACGAUGAUGUCGUCCAUGUCGGCUCCCGUGUCGUCGGCGUCGCCGAGGUGCGAGAAGGGUAGCGGACCACGGUAGAGAUGGGGCGUCGGUGUGGACGCGUAGGCGGCGGGCGGCGAGUAGUUGUAUGGAGGGUACUGCACGCUGACGAAGGCGGGCGAGGGCGUGCGCCUAGCGGGGUGACCGUGAGGGAAGGUCACGUUUGGGUUGAACCCACCGUGCGCGUCGCCGUCGGCGUAGCCGGGCGACGAUGAACCCCAUGGAGAUCCGGCGCCUUGCUGUCCCCAGGGCGCGUACUGGGCGUGGCUGACGACGGGUGGAUUCAUCCCCGCCUGGUCAACCGAUGAGGAAGACGCCGCCGCGCGCGCCGCGUUGUCGCGGGCCUUCUUGGCUAUGGCCCUGUUCCGCCUGUCGGCGGUGACUACUUCGCGCCGCUAAACUUCCACCCUCCACUCGGCGUUCGACAGGCCCGGUGGCUUAGAUGGCGGCACCCUUUUUUCGGCGCCGGCACGGCAAAAUCGCCUGGGGAGGGCCUGUUGGGGGCGCGGCUGGAGAUGCCCUUACAUCCCCCUUUCUUGCAUCCCCAUAUCCUAUCUCCCAAACUGCAGCUUUCAACAUUCAGGAGAAGCCAUUGGAUCCAUCAGCACCAUAGCCACAGGCCUCCAACCCUCCUUGAGGUAAUUACUGCCUUUUUUCUUUCCUUCCUUCUUUAUUUACUACUUCUCCAUCUUUUGGGUGUGUCGGUCUGAAUCCGAUCAUGCUUUUCGACAAGAGGGAGAAUGAAACCUCUGCUUUGUUGUAGGUUAUAUUUUUGUUCUUUAGGUUGCACCAUGAUUCGAAAAGGGUUGCGUUUAGCCGAUCACCACUGAGGUGGAUCCAGUUUUUAUUUAUUUUUAUUUUAGCUAAUCAAGUACUUCAUGCAUGUGUGUAUUCGUAUAUAUGGAAAUGAUAAAAUAAUUACUGUCAAGAGGUGAUUGUUUAUAUUUUUCUUACACGUGUUUUGUGGACCAUCCAGAUCUUACAUCAACAGAUACCAUCAUGAGUCCCACAUCAAAGUUUAUGGAUCUCCGUGACAUAAAGGAAAUCACAAAUGGUUUCUCUGACGACCUGAAGAUUGGAAGUGGGAGGAUUGGAACAGUUUACAGGGUACACUGAGAACAAACAUAUUUUCUUUCACUUUUUUUUUCUGUGUGUGUGUGUAGGAAAAGAGCUAAGCUUGCUGGUACCAAGUACUUACAUUAUUAGGCUUUUGUUUUUUUACACAUGUUAGAACAUGAGUACUCCAUGCUUACCAAAUUAUUUCAAGUUCUAGAUUUUCUCCAACUAAAACUUUUCUUUAUUUUUCCUGCAAACAAAAUUUUCUAUAUUUGACCAAGUCUUUAGCAAAAAUAUGCUAAUAUCUGCAGUAUCAAAUAUAUAUAGUAUGAAAAUAUAUUUUAUGAUAUAUCUAAUAAAAGUAAUUGUGGAUGUUGAUAUAUUUUUACAAACUUGGUCAAUUUUAGAGAAGUUUGGCUUACAGAAAAGCUAAAACUUCAAAUAAUUUGAAACGGAGCCACUAUACAUGUCCAAGUCGACGAGUCUACAACAUGUUUUUCUAAUUAAAAUAGCGAAGAUAUUACACCAGAGUAUUUGUUUUUGAAAGGGAGUAAUCUUAUUAGUUGAAAGAACAUACACCGCGAAUGCUUUGCCACCUGCGAUGAUUUAUGUGUGGUUGUGAUAGUAAAUGAACACAUAAAAAAGGUAGAUGGCAGCAAAAAGAAGUAAACGGUUUUGAAUAACAACAGUAGAACUAGCAAAAAAAUGAUCCCAAAUCCAUGGAACGUGGAGUCUAUUUUGAAAGCUCUUAUUUUGAAAAGGCUAAUAAAAGACCCUAAACUUAUCAUGUUUAGACCCAUUUAGCAACAUAUUGUCAAUGAUGCGAGGAAAUUAUUGUGAGUCAAAAAAUGAUCCUAAACAAAUCAUAUUCUUUUUCCAAUUCUGAAUGGGAGGUUAACCACCCACUAAAGUUCCCUUAAAAAGGUCAGAUAGUUCCAAUUCCAAUUAUUCCAACAUGGCAAUAUGCGUAAAAUUUGCUUCCUGUCUUUUACAUAAGUCUCAUUGCCGUACUUAGCCCAACCCAUGUGAUGUUGUGUAAGACCCUGCGGCUUUAAGUUGACAUAUUCCAUAACAUAAUAAAUAUACAAUAUUAAUUAGUUAUGUCUAACAGGGAGUUUACAACGGAGAAGAGAUUGUUGUGAAACUUCUUGAUGGGGAGCGACUUAGAAAAAUGAAUGGGAAGAAACUUUAUAGGAUUAUGGCGAUGAGCCAUCCAAAUAUUGAACAGUUUGUUGGCUAUUGUGAUGAAGCAGAGUAUGGUGAAUACAAUGGUGAGUGGCGUGUUUAUAGAAUUCUAUGCUAUGAAUACUUGGAGGGUGGAAGCCUUGACAAGUAUCUCAUAGGUAAGAUGCAGUUCUAUUUCAGACUAUUUCUUUUGUGUUCAAUGAAAACUAACUCUCCCAUUUCGAUUUUGAGUCACUCUGUCUUGUUCUGCUUAUGCUUAAGAAUCUCAUGGCCAUGACUGGCGAACCCGUUACAACAUAAUAAAGGGGGUCUGCGAAGGUUUAAAUUUCAUACACGACAGAACGGGAGCUCUAAUUUGCCAUCUAAACCCCACCAACAUACUACUAGACAAGUCCUUGGUGGCUAAAAUUACGAAUUUUGCAAUGUCAAUGCUCCUCAAUGGACCAAAUACCUAUACAGAAAGCUUUUUAGGCGAAAUGUAAGUAAAUCACUUCACGUGUGAAUCCAUUUAUUUUUUGUGAUGAGGCUGAACAGUUAUACUGAUUGUACCAUCCAGUCCGUACACACCACCGGAGGGCUUAAUACGUGCCCAUGUCAAUGAUGGAAAAUAUGAUGUCUACAGUUUAGGCAUCAUAAUCAUACAGAUUGUGGCUGGAUAUACCGGUUACUCAAGAUUUUGUGAAAUGGAUGUCACACAAUUUAUUGAGCUGGUAAGAAAACAAUUUUUUUGCCCGAAAAAAAGAAUUUAUGUACUAUGCAAAAGUAAUUAAGAUAGGAUGCUUCUAUAUAGUCUGUAUACUAAAUUAUCUGCCUUAUAUACUUGUGCUAUGAUUCGGUAGGUAAAUACAAAUUGGAGGAAAUGUAUAAAUGCAACUACAUCACCAUGCCCAUCUGCAGAAUGGGACCAGGUGGAUGCGUGCAUCAGAUUAGCAAUAAAAUGUGUGGACCAAGAAAGGGACAAUAGACCCACUGCGGAAGAAAUUGUGCAUAUUCUGAAGGAGAAUGAGAAAUUGUUGCCGGUGGAGUACUGGGCACCCUUUGUAAUGGGCAAGGUACGACUACUAACGACACAAAAUAUGUGCAUGUUCUCUACCCCCCAUGAGAACAAAACAACUGACAGUGGUUAUGCUAAAUAACAAAAUAAUACACUAAUCUUUAGUUUUUAAACAUAUCUUUUGUAGGAAGAAGCUUCUUGUAUAAAUCUUAUGAAGCAAUUUGGUGAUAUGGAUAUGCAUGGAGACCAUGAAACGGAUACGCAGGUGCAAAACAGUGAUUGUUGUAUAUAGCGAUAUUUACAUAAUUUUGAAUAUAAUUAGUUUGGUAGGAAUCUGCAAGUUAACCCAAAAGUUCUAUUGAAAUGGUAUAAGUGCACUCCCUCAUUAAUCCAAGUACUUCUCUUUGCAGACAACAUCCACACUUGAUCAUAUGUCGUUACAAUAUCUGAAAGACAUCACAAACAACUUCUGCAAUGAGAGAAUACUUGGUAGAGGUGGUUUUGGUGUGGUAUAUAAGGUAAGGUUAAAGCAAAGCUGUUUUUGUUUUCUCACAGUAUUAACCAUACUUGACCCAGACAUAUCCAUAUUAUAAGAGAUUUUAAACAGGGAGUGCUAGGAAACGGGAAAAUGGUUGCAGUGAAGAAGCUUGCACAGUCUAUGUCAAACUCAUUGGAGCAAUUUGAGAAUGAGAUUAAUCUUCUUAUGAAACUAAAGCACCCAAAUAUAGUGCAACUAGUAGGCUACUGUUACGAAACACAGCAUUUACGUAACUAUCAUGAAGGAAAAUUCAUUUUUGCUUGGAACACCGAAUGUUUGCUUUGCUUGGAAUUUCUGCCUAAGGGAAGCCUUGAUAAGUACAUUUCAGGUAUGCCAUUUAAUAGUUCUUGUUUCUCUACUUUUCAUCUCACUUUGUGAUUACAAUUUUCGUGGUUUGACUAUAUAUAGUUCUUAAAAUGGUGCUCUUAUGAACGAAGAAAAUGAGAAUAUACAAUAGAAAUUUGGAAGUCUUUCUAAAUAUAUUGUACCUUUGUUACCAUUCUCACUCCUCGGAGUAUGUACCUUAUUCAUUUGAAAAAUAUUAGAAUAUACAAUAGAAUUGCGGUUUCAUUAUAGGAGUCAUUUUUCUGUACUCCUGGGAAUUUGGACUCCCACAUUUAAUAUACCUCAUGUAUACAUAUAGCAUAGCUCGUGUGUGUGUAUGUCUAUAUAUAUGUGUGUGUGUGUGUGUGUGUGUGUGUAUAUAUAUAUAUAUACAUAUAUAUAUAUAUAUAUAUAUAUAUAUAUAUUUGAUGUUGUUGAUCUUAGGAGAAUUUUCCAUAGACUUGGUCAAACUUUAAAAAGUUUGACUUAGGAUAGAACUUCAAUUAUUUUAUUUACAAAUACAUCUUCCGGACUUGAUUGGCCCACACGCCACCAAAUAAUUGAGGGGAUUUCCUAUGGUCUACAGUACCUCCACGAGCAACCCGAAGGUCCGAUUAUUCACUUGGACCUAAAACCAGCGAACAUACUGAUUGAUGUAAAUAUGAUACCGAAAAUUACAGACUUUGGUCUGUCAAGAAUGUUUGAUAAAAAAACUAUCCACACCGCAAUCACGAGUGGAACAUUGUAAGUGAUCCACCUCUUGAUAAUCCUUGCUUUUUAGUAAUCAACAGAAUGUAUUCUCUUUGACGUUUUCUUAACACUUCAUGUUCACUCAUUCCUGUCAAUAUAGAGGUUAUAUGCCGCCGGAAUAUGUACGAGGUAUAAUCACACCUAUGUCAGAUAUAUUCAGUUUGGGUGUAAUUAUCAUGGAGGUAAUAACGGGACACAGGGACUACCCAUAUGAUAUUAGAGAAUCUUCCAUGGAAUUCAUCGAGCUUGUAAGGCAACCCUGUAUAAAUUUUUAAGGCUUCAUUAAGACCGUGUGACCUUUUUCCAUUGUGUAGUAACAUUUAAUAUUUGUGGCCUGCACUCACAGGAACUGCAAAAAUGGAGAAAUGUGAUGCAAAAAGAACCAGUGUAUACAUCGCUUGAAAUAUAUUGCCAACAAAUAACAAGAUGUAUCCAGAUAGGUCUAAUAUGCGUGAAUCCUGAGCGGACCAAAAGACCUACAGCGAAGAAAAUUAUUGAUAUGCUUCAAGGGUUGGAAAGUAUGGAUUGGUACAUUAGCAACGAGGUAACGUCAUUUACAGGAAGUGUAUGAUAGUGUCAGGGUAUUGUGUGGCAUAUAAUGUAUUAGUCUCCUUUUCCUAGCAUAGAGAGUAUAAAUAUACUGCAUUUUAUAUAUUUGUACCUAGAAAUGAAAAAUGGUACUGUAUAACUUAUUCUAUAUGCGGGUUUACAUUGGAAGUAGUAACCUAGUUGCUAGGACUAAGUUAUGUGCUUAAUGCAUACCUUGUAUGCAAUUUCAAACCAGUCGAUGGCCUGGUGAAUGGUUUCCUAAGUCCAAUAUUCGUUUUUGAGGUUUUGAAAGUUUUUGGACCAAACUUGGACUUUAGGCAAAGUUCAAGGUCUAAAAUUAGAGAUCACGUUGGGGUUGAUGCUCAAAACAACAAUGCUAGAGAAAUGACCGGAGAGAGAGAGAGAGAUUAUAGAUCAAGCAAAGUUUAACCAACUAUCUGGCCCAUUUCAGUUAUCAAUCCAGCCACAACAUCCAGGCGGAGCCGCCGUAAUUUAACAAAGGAGACUGCUACAACGUCUGUUGCUUCUAUCUUAAUUUCUGGUGUGUCACUUUUUUGAAUUUUAACAGUGGCUCUAUAAAAUGAUGCACGGAUGCAUAUCUAAUUUUAGUUGGCUUCAGUUGUUACAGGGCUUUGGAUCCUGGUUCGCAGUUGUUCCUACCAAGCAAGUGAAUGUCACGAAUCUGCAGUUGUGCUGGUUCCUGCAGAAUUAUGUGUGCGAUGCGGAAACGUCUUACCCUUCGAGGGGGACGUGGUACGUGUUAUAUAGGGGAGUGCGAGUCCCUGAUACGCGUACAAUUCUGUUGGAGAGAUACAUAACUUGGGGAAGAAGAAGUAUAGGAGAUAAAGCAUAGUUACAACCGAACAGAAUUUAAACUACCCAUGCGGCUAUCUAUCUUAUCUAUCUCCUCAUACAUAUCUUGUUUGACACCCUCCCUUAAUCACAACUUCAUCAAGUUGAGAUUAUGCUUGAAAUCUUCAAAACUCCUUGUAGGCAAAGCUUUUGUAAACCCGUCUGCCACUUGAUCCCGUGAAUGAAUGAAACGAAUGUCCAAAAGCUUAUUAGCAACUCUCUCUCUGACAAAGUGAAAAUCUAUUUCAAUAUGCUUUGUUCUAGCAUGAAACACUGGGUUUGCAGACAAAUAGGUGGCACCAAGAUUAUCACACCAUAAGCAUGGAGCUUGAGAGCUUUUCACACCUAACUCCUUCAAGAUUGACUGUACCCAGAUAAUUUCUGCUGUUGCAUUGUCCAAGGCCUUGUAUUCUGCUUCAGUGCUUGAUCUAGACACUGUGGCUUGUUUUCUGGCACACCAUGAUAUAAGGUUGGGUCCAAAAAAUACUGCAAAGCCACCAGUGGAGCGUCUGUCAUCCAAGCAUCCUGCCCAAUCUGAAUCAGAAAAGGCACUAACAAGAGUAGAAGGUGACUUGCUGAAGUUUAGACCAACAUUCAAAGUAUACUUGACAUAUCUAACAAUGCGCUUAGCUGCAGUCAAGUGAACUGUGGUAGGUGCAUGUAGGAACUGGCACACUUUGUUGACAGCAAAGGAAAUAUCUGGCCUGGUUAAUGUUAAGUACUGAAGUGCACCUACAAGACUUCUGUAUUUUGUACUAUCCUCUGGACCCAAAAGUGUUCCUUCUGUAAGAGAUAAUUUUUCUGUACUAGAGAGAGGAGUGGAUGUAGGUUUACAACUACCAAAUCUGUAGCAUAUUUUUCUUGAGAAAGAUGUAGCCCAUCCUUGUGCUGCUUCACCUCAAUUCCUAGGAAAUAAUGCAAUUCUCCUAGAUCCUUGAGGGCAAAUUCAGCACCUAAAUCCUUCAAGAGUCCUGAUAUUGCCUCAUUAGAUGAGCUCGUGACAAUAAUAUCAUCAACAUAUAUAAGAACAAACAUGCAGGUGUUGAACUUGUUAUAAAUGAACAAGGAGGUGUCAGAUUUUGAAGGAACAAAACCAAGUGUCUGCAUCUUUUUACUGAGACGGGAAUACCAUGCCCUUGGUGCUUGUUUCAGUCCAUAUAAUGCUUUAUCUAGCUUGCACACAUAGGAAGGUGUAUGUUUGCUUUCAAACCCAGGAGGUUGUUUCAUGUACACUUCCUCUUCCAGAACACCGUGAAGAAACGCGUUCUGUACAUCUAAUUGUCGAAGGCUCCAUCCCCUGGAAACAGCAAUAGACAGUACGAGACGAAUGGUAGCAGCUUUUACAACUGGACUAAAAGUAUCCUCGUAGUCUAUGCCAUAUCGUUGCUUGAAGCCUUUUGCAACUAGCCUAGCCUUAUAGCGAUCAAUGGUUCCAUCAGACUUUCUCUUAAUUCUGAAUACCCACUUGCAGUCAAUAAGGUUUUUACCUUGCUUGGGGGGAACCAAGUGCCACGUUUUAUUUCUUUCAAGCGCCUUAUAUUCUUCUACCAUUGCCUUUUUCCACCUGUCAUCACUGAGAGCCUCUUCAAUUGUGUUGGGCUCACCUGGUUCACCUGUGGAACAAACUAGACCAUAUUUGGUUAUGUGUUUGUAAUUUUUCGGUUGAGUCAAACCUUGCUGUAGUCUUGUGCGGCGUUUUGGUGAAGCAGCCGGAUCUGCAGCCACAGAGGAUCCCGCGCCACCGUCAGUUCUGGGUGCACGGGAUUUUCUGUGGCUGUGACCCGAGGUGACGGUGGGGAAGACGCCGCAGGGGCCACAGACGAUCCAGGGGCGCCGACCGGCUCAUCAUGAGCGCGUGAUUGCGCGGCCCCGCUUGAAUCAGGCGCCGACCCCGUAUCCGCCUGGCGCGUGAGACCCCGCCGCUUGUAGCAAACCGGCUGGUCUGCGAAGCGCGUGCGGUCCGGGCCAACGUCGCGCUGCCGCGUGGCGGCUGGAGACUGGUGCGGGCUGGAUGGCGCGUCACGCCCUGUCGAAGGGGGCCGCGCGUCAUGCAGUGGGCUGCUGGAGCCCACGCGCCCGACCGCGCCUGACGCGUCCAACGCAGCCGUGCGGCUGGUCGUUGGCACGGAUCCCAGAAGGGAUUGCCUGGGCAUCUGCAGCUCCGAUCCCGAGGGGGAUUUGCUUCCCUCGCCGCGACACAUGUGAUAAGGGCCAUCUGGAUGGAUUUCUUCACCGUUUGGGUUGAUUUCUUCGCCAUUUUCUUCUCUGUUUCCAUAGUGUGGUGCUCCUGUAAUAUCAUCAGGUGACUCAUGCACAAGAGGGUUAGCCAACAUAUGAUCACAACAAUUAUCAACACCCCCUUGAUCAUAACCAGAGAGACUUGGAGGAAGCAAAAGUAUUUCUUUUUGAAGGAGAGCACCAGCGUUUGGAUGAAGAUCAGAAAAAGGGAAUUUGGUCUCGUCAAAAACCACGUCACGUGAUAUAUAGACUCGACCAGUGGAGAUGUCAAGGCACUUUACACCUUUGUGUUGGGCGCUGUAUCCAAGGAAAGCACAUUGAAUUGAUCGAAACAUGAGCUUGCGUUUGUUGUAUGGGCGUAGGUUAGGCCAGCACGCACACCCAAACACACGAAGAGUGGAAUAGUCGGGUUUGACAUGAAGAAGACGUUCUACUGGAGUUUCAUUAUUUAUGACACGACUAGGAAGCAUGUUGAUGAUGUGAACAGCAGUAAGAAACGUUUCGUCCCAAAACUUUAAUGGCAUAGACGCAUGAGCUAAAAGAGCAAGACCAACUUCAACAAUGUGACGGUGUUUGCGCUCGGCUGAGCCGUUUUGUUGGUGAGCGUGGGGACAUGACACAUGAUGUGAGAUGCCAAGGGUUUGGAAGAAGGAGUUCAACUUCUCGUAUUCCCCUCCCCAAUCGGAUUGGACAACGAUGAUUUUGGAAUCAAAUUUACGCUCUACAAGUGCUUGAAAAUUUUUAAACACUUGGAAAACGUCGGAUCUUUUCUUAAGAAGAUAGAUCCAUGAAAACUUGCUAUAGUCUUCAAUAAAGCUUACGUAGUAAGUGUGUCGACCAACAUAACUAGGGGCUGGUCCCCAAACAUCAGAAAAAAUCAAUUGCAAUGGUUGAGUAGACACACUAGUAGAAAUUGGAUAUGGAAGCUGAUGACUCUUAGCUCGCUGACAGGAAUCACAAAUAGUUUCAACAUUGCGCUCACCAACAUACAGGAGCUUAUUUUUCCUAAGGAGUUUUUCAACUAAAGCAAAAGAAGCAUGUCCUAAACGAUCGUGCCAUCGUGUUGACGAGAGUUUGACAACACCAAAAGCCUGUUUAUUGAAUCUUGCGCGCUCCGGAAUCAACGGGUAAAGCCCUCGAACACAUCUACCUCGAUAGAGGAUUCUCUUCGUGGCCUGAUCCUUGAUCAAAAAGAAAUAUGGAUGAAAUUCAAGAAAAACAUGAUUAUCAAGAGCAAUUCUAUGAAUAGAGAGAAGGCUUUUAUUGGCACUAGGAACAUGCAAGAUUUUCUUAAGAUGAAUUUUUCUACGGGGGGUAUGAAAAAUUGAGUGACCAAUGUGGUUAAUCCUCAUACCUUCACCACUAGCUGUGUGGAUUUGAUCCUUGCCACGAUAUUUUUCCUUCAUUGUCACCUUUUCAAGUUCAUUGGUGAUGUGGUUGGUGGCGCCACUGUCGACGUACCAGUUGGUGUCGAUUCCAUAGGAGCCAUCCGUAGCAGCAGCAAGUUUGUCCUCGUCUUGGGAGGAGUCGCCGUCGUCGUCGUAGCGAUACCAGCAGUCUUUGGCCGUAUGCCCUAGCUUACCACAAAUUUGGCAGCGAGGUGCAUCUGGCCGUGACCUGGUGGAGCCACCGCGACGGCCCCUGUUGUUGCCAGAAGAGGGCCGCCCGCCGCCGCGAGUGCUGGAGUUGCUGUUGCCGUGUCCCCCGCCCGAGGCCUUGCCCCUGUUGCGAGGUGACCUGCGCUGAUGAGAGGAGCCGCCGCCGCGGCCACGAAAAGCGGCGUUGGCUGACGACUUGAAGCCGCCCGAGGACUGGAAGAGCGCCACGCGCUGGUCGAAGUUGCUCAUCAUGGAGAAGAGCUCGUCGAGGGAGACAGGCACGAUGCGGGCGUCGAGGGCGGACACCAGGGGCUGGUAAUCCAUGUCCAGCCCAUGAAGGAUGUAGGAGACAAGCUCGUCAUCUUGCAGAGGCUUGCCGGCCGCGGCGAGUUCAUCCGCGAGGCCGCGCACGUGGGCGAAGUAGGUGGCGACGGACUGGUUCCCCUUCUGCGCGUUGAUGAGGGCCGUGCGGAUGUUGUUCACCCGGCUGAGGGACUGCAACGAGAACAUGCCCGCCAGAGCAGCCCAGAGCGCGGGCGACGUGGUGAUCGCGGUCACCUGCACAAGAACCUCUUUGAACAGAUUGUUGAGCAGAUAUCCAAGUACCUGCUGGUCCUCCCGUACCCAGAUUGGGUGGAGAGGGUUGGGUGUCGAGGACUCCUUCCCGUCUUUGUCCUUGGUGACGAGGAGUCGGGCCAGCUCCGGUGUGGUGCCAUCGGCAUAGCCAAAGACACCGGCGCCCCGCAGCUGCGGCAUGAUCUGGGCGCGCCACAGAACAUAGUUCGUGCGGGUGAGCUUCUCCGUGACCUGUUGGUUGAGGUUUGGGUGGGAGGAGCCGGAGGAAGACAUGGCUAGGGCACUAAUGGCGAUGAGCUAGGCUAGAUGAGAUUGGAAGAGGUGGCUCUGUAUACCAUGUGCGAUGCGGAAACGUCUUACCCUUCGAGGGGGACGUGGUACGUGUUAUAUAGGGGAGUGCGAGUCCCUGAUACGCGUACAAUUCUGUUGGAGAGAUACAUAACUUGAGGGAGAAGAAGUAUAGGAGAUAAAGCAUAGUUACAACUGAACAGAAUUUAAACUACCCAUGCGGCUAUCUAUCUUAUCUAUCUCCUCAUACAUAUCUUGUUUGACAUUAUGUACUAUGUAGUGCCAUGGACACACAUCCUUUGUUUUCGAUGUUCUUGUUCGGCCGAUUCCUAUGGCUGGUGAUGUACACAUUAGCUUUCGAUUGCAUUAUCUAGUAUGACUUGUGUGUACAUAUCCUUGACUUCAGAUUGGUACUGUUGAUAGAUAGACAUCCUGCUAGUGUGCCGUACUAGUACUAGUAACGGCCUUCUCUUGGAGCUUGCAACAUUUAGGUAAUCGAUUUUAAAUGUUUCAAAAAAUUCUGAAAAUUUGCUUUCAGUCACUGUCUAGCCGUCCAGGGCACCUUUGCCCCGGAGGAACGCUUUCCAGCUCGCCUGCUCUGCUCUGCUCAGCAGCUCCGGUGCUCCUGCUUCUUUGGGAAUUGCUACAUCCUGAAUCCUGCAUGGUAAUUUCUAAUUUAGGUCCUGAGUCCUGACAAAUGCAUGUUGGUAGGAACCGAAUCCCUACGAGGGCGUUGUCUCAGGUUGUAGGGGUGGAAGGAGGGAUGGUGUGGUCGCCGGCACUGGGGCGCCAUCGUUGCAUGAGAGAGAGAGAGGGAAGGAGGGAGGGAGGGAGGGAGUGAGUGAGUGAGAGAGAGAGAGAGAGUGAGUGAGUGAGUGAGUGAGUGAGUGAGUGAGAGUGAGAGUGUGAGUGUGAGUGUGAGUAUGAGUAUGAGAGUGCAGCGGCGGCUAGGGUUAGGUCUCCUGGCUCCCUAAGGAAGCUAUGAUUGCUUCUUGCUUAAUCCCAAAAUAACUGGGCUAAGCCCCUAAUAUACCGGUCAUAACAUCUCUCCCUGCACAAACAACUCGUCUUUGAGCUGGAAGGCGGGGCAGAUCAACGGUCGCCAAACACCUCCGCGUCAAUUGGGGCGGGCUGGUCGCCGAGCCCGGCGGCGGCGGGGUCCUCCUCAAUGUAGUCUGUAGCCUCCAGGCAGAAGAGUCGUGGGCAGACGUGGCCCGGUACGUAGGGCUCGUCGCAAUUGAAGCACAACCCUUGGCGACGACGCUCGAGUUGCUCGGCCGGGGUGAGCCAGCGGAAUAGGCGUGCCGCAGCCGCGGCGAGGGGCGCCGUGGAAGCCUGGGUCCUCCCGCGCCGAGGACAGAGAUAUUUUUAUCAUGUCAUCUAUUCCGCUGGUCCCAUCAUGGAUGGCAGUGUAUUCUUUGAAUAGAAGUUUUGUAAUCUUAGGCUGGACUCUUUUUUAUUAUUGACUUAAACGAUAUUUAAUUUUUGAUUGUGUUGGACAUGUCGGCUAUGUGCAUCGUCUUAUGCACAGGACGCGCAUUCGCUCAAUGCGAACGUAGCACCAUUGAACGAAAAUGUGCUUUAUCCCCCACAAAAAAAUGAGCUUUAUCAAAAGAAAGAAACAAUACAUGAUGACUCUUGAGGAAUUUGCUUCUAGAAUACAGACAUAGCUCCUAAGUGAAUGAUCCCAAAUAACAAUAUCGAAGCGUGUCAUGAUCCUUGAUGAACUUGAAGUGUAUGUUAUUCCGCAAAUCUUACCUUGACUCUUGAGCAAUUUGCUUCGAGAACUUCAUUCAUAAUUAUUCUAAGUGAAUGCUCUCGACUAGCAAUAUCAUAGUGUGUGGCAUGAUCAAUCUUGACGAACUUGAAGUGUAUGUUAUUCUGCCGCUGCUGCCUAUGCAGUUCCUUGGCGAACGACAACACGCUAACCAAAUUGAUGCACCCAUCUCGGUCGCCAUGCACGAUCACUGGGGCAACGUCAAAGUUACCUUCCCAAUACAUCACAUGUUCCAUCGUUUGUACGCCGGCUCCAUUGAGGUAUGUUGUUGGUACCAUUGGCGCAUCAACCCUCAGCAUUGUCGGAAGCACCCGUUUCGUGAAGGGCACAACUUCGUCGGUGCUGAAACCGAGUGCUGCAAGAAAAUGCGGGUAGUCGUAUGCUGAGUAGUUCCUGUUUUUGGUGAUCACGAGCGGCUUGUGACCAAAAACAGCAGGAGAUGGCAGGGACAGAAGGGAACUCUCGAAGGCCCUCCACAUUUGCCGCAAAGCAAGCGAUGGAACGGCUGGAACAGCAAUAACAUCGGGUCCGGAUGCAAGGUUCGUGACCACCUGGGUAAAGCCUGUAGAAGGCGUGGGUGAGAUGACAAUCAUAUACUUGAUGAGCUUUUGCCUCCAUGACAGGGAAGUUGAGUUGAGGAAAUCGAGGAUGACCCUGCCGCCGAAGCUAUGACCAAUGAGAAUGACCGGCUUGUUCCCAUUCUUCUCACUUGCGUGGUGCACCAGAUCCUUGACACGAGCAUAGUAGUCGGAGUACACCUGAGAUGGCUGGCCCGAGGUUGNNNNNNNNNNNNNNNNNNNNNNNNNNNNNNNNNNNNNNNNNNNNNNNNNNNNNNNNNNNNNNNNNNNNNNNNNNNNNNNNNNNNNNNNNNNNNNNNNNNNNNNNNNNNNNNNNNNNNNNNNNNNNNNNNNNNNNNNNNNNNNNNNNNNNNNNNNNNNNNNNNNNNNNNNNNNNNNNNNNNNNNNNNNNNNNNNNNNNNNNNNNNNNNNNNNNNNNNNNNNNNNNNNNNNNNNNNNNNNNNNNNNNNNNNNNNNNNNNNNNNNNNNNNNNNNNNNNNNNNNNNNNNNNNNNNNNNNNNNNNNNNNNNNNNNNNNNNNNNNNNNNNNNNNNNNNNNNNNNNNNNNNNNNNNNNNNCGAGGUUGGUGAUCACGAGCGGCUUGUGACCAAAAACAGCGGGAGAUGGCAGGGACAGAAGGGAACUCUCGAAGGCCCUCCACAUUGGCCGCAAAACAAGCGAUGGAACGGUUGGAACAGCAAUAACAUCGGGUCCGGAUGCAAGGUUCGUGACCACCUGGGUGAAGCCUGUAGAAGGCGUGGGUGAGAUGACAAUCAUAUGCUUGAUGAGCUUUUGCCUCCAUGACAGGGAAGUUGAGUUGAGGAAAUCGAGGAUGACCCUGCUGCCGAAGCUAUGACCAAUGAGGAUGACCGGCUUGUUCCCAUUCUUCUCACUUGCGUGGUGCACCAGAUCCUUGACACGAGCAUAGUAGUCGGAGUACACCUGAGAUGGCUGGCCCGAGGUUGGUGGAGCACGCCGUAGAUCGUAAGGAGCUCCGAAAAGAGUAUCUUUGUCAUGAUAUCCUAGUGCUUCCAGUUCUUCGCGGAGCCUUAUCAUGCAAAACAUGUUAUGCCUGGACAUGGCAAAGAUAACGCAGUAAGUGGCAAUACACUGAUCUAGAACUCUCCGACUCAAAGAAUCGGAGUAGCCAAUGUGUCACUUAAUUAUAUACUCCAUCCGUUUCAAAAAGUAGGGUGCAAAUCUUGAUAUGUAAAGCUUGACCAAAAUUAUAGAGAAAAAAUAUGAGAUAUAAUUGAAUACCAUGAGCUACAUCGUGAAACAUAGUUUUCUGUUAUACUCCUUCCAUAUUAAAAUAUUUUGAUACGGAGGGAGUACAUAUUAAGUAUGUUUGUAAGAGGAAUUGGUUUGUGAUAAGCGUAUGCAUCGUAGCAGGGACGCGUGCGUGUUUAUAUAGCACAAGGAAUACAUGCGGCGGCAAGUUGUUGGAGUCUUGACCCAUCCUCCAAGCUAUACAAGAGAUAGGAUCAAAUCUUCCUAACAACCUACCUUUGUUACAAGACACUACCAGAAAACAGACUUUUCCCCACGGCUAAGAACCCACAGGAAAAAGCCAAAUCCCGUCAGGAAAAUAUUUCCUGACGGUUACCCGACAGGAAAAUUUCGCCAGGAAUAAAACGACAGGGAAAUCUUUUAAUGCCUGACGGCCAGCCGACAGGAAUUAUUUUCCUGACGGUUAUUCCUGUCGACUACCCUCGGGAAAAUCUUGAUGCCGUCAGGUUUAUAGGUAGACUUAUUGUGACGGCCAGCCUACAGGGAAAAUGGCACGCAGGAAAAUGAAUUAUGUUGAGCAUGUAUUUUUCUUUCUUUAGGAUCAAUGUUGAGCAUGUAUCUGACAAAUCCAUAUCCUUCUAUAGUUACAAAUUUAUUAGCACAUAUCAAUGGUCCACGUAUGAUCCCAUUAAGUGAAAAUCCACAUCAUAUCUUCGUACAAGCAUCCAAGACCAGUAUAUACAUAGCACGUAUCCAUGCAUGAUUGAACAUUUGGUAGAUGACAUCUGAAAUUUUUAAUUGCUGUUGUUUUAUUUGCUCAACAGCAGUAACAUGUCAGUUGUACGCAUACAUGCCACCGCCACCCAAAACAAUAAGACUCAUGUUUCUAAGUCCACUGGUUCAUGAUCUGGAGCAUCAUCUACACCUUCAUAAGUUUCUAAGUCACCUUAGGCUACCACCAUGUUCUCAACAUCAUUGUUGCCUUCGCUGUUGCCAUUGCCGACGUGGUCGCCCAUAGCACCAUCCUCCAAGCUAACAGAGGAUAACUCGGUGUUCCCUGCAAAGUCAUGUACACAAGUAACGGGAAUAAUAUUGGAAAGAGAAGGAGAUGAUGACCAACAUCUUUCACCAUAUGAGUUGUUAUCCGCUUAACUCUUUCAAGUUUCAUCUUUUAGCAUAUCUAUACAAUAUAUCCUACAGCCCCAUGAAACAUAUAUUUUAUAUUUUAAAGUGGCUCCAAAAGAUAAUCUGGUCCACUUGAUGAUAAUUUAGCUAAUCAUCAAGGACUAAAAAAGGAUGUUCAUUUAGUUUUUCUUUGUAAAUCUUAGAUAUGUCAUAUGGCAGCAAUGCAACCAUUAGAUGUUAUACUACCAUCUUGGUGCUUUAUAAAAUAAUGGAUAGGAUUAAACAAUACUCACUGGUAGCUUCAUGUUCGACCUUGUGCCCACUAGGACGACAUUCUUAACGAGAUCCUGCCCUUUUUGCCCUGAUGAAAUGUGCAAUCUCAAGAUUCCAAUCAAGAAUAGAUGAUUUUGUUCAGAACAAGACUAAAGAUUUCUGGAAAAGCAGAGUAUACUUGUAGCCAGCGGAAUAACAGUUUAUCUAAAAAGAUGACCAAGAAGGCAAGAACUUAAGAGAUUGCAUAAUCCCCUAAUUUUAGAUAUAUAGUAAAUUCAGCUUCAUCUAAACUAACAUGAUGGGUGAAGAUUGUAAUUCAAGGAAGUAAAAUAAAUUAAUGGGGUUAGGUAGACGUUGGGCAAACAAUGGCUCCAGAUUCAAUGCACAAGAGCCAAAGACUGGACAAGAAGACCUGAACUAAAUCAUGCCCUCAAAGAAGAUCCAGCAUGCCAUACACCCUUGAGUAACUGAGGAAUAUGACUGCCAGUCUAGAUACAUGAUGGAAGUAACACACAAAUCAGAUAGAUAUGCAUGUGCAUUAAUCACCUCAUGUUGCUGGCCUGCGAGAACUUCAUAAAGAAGAGGUAUGUACUCCUCAUAGUCUUCAGCAUCCAUGGGCUUGCACCUGAACCAAAACACACACACACGCGCGUAAAAUAGAGCACGGACACGCACUGACUCACUCUUCGAACAGGGCAUAUGCGAACAGGUGCCGAGCUCAAGGGAUGACAUGUUCCAAACAACAAGGUACCUGCGACCAAAUAUGUGUUCAGGAGAAGAUUAGAGGAAUGGAUUAGUGGCGCUGUGCAUAUGAGGAGAGACUGAGUUAGCAUCAGGGAUAGAUGGUGUAUAGUCUCAAAACAAUUUACACUACCUCAUCAUAAAUAAGUAAUUUGCCAAAUAAAUAAGGACAGCAACAAAUAAUAAGGUAACAAUUUGAGAGAUAAUUGCCACAUAAAGGCAAGUAUGUAUAUUUCCAAAGUGUGAGAGGUACCUGAGACAGGUUUUGCCUUGCCCUUCCUUCCACUACAAAGACUUCUAAAGAUGAGAAACAAAACCUAAAAGAGAGUGGCACAACUAUGCAAAUAAUUACUUACAUUGCUAACUAAAAUAUGACUAACUUGCUUCUAAAAUUGAACGUUUACUGCCAAAAUUAUUUGUGAAGGGAGGCGAUAUAUAGAAGUUGUACCAGUGUGGCUGCAGCUUCAACAAAGGAUCCUUGAUAUGGCAGAUUCAAGCUACAAGAAAUCAAGCAUGAAAAAAGAGUAAAUAUUUGACAUCUGAUUUCAAGACAUUAUACUACAAUUUGCUCAUAAAGUUUUUCAAAUGUACAUAAAUACAUAAAUACCACUGAGAAAGCAGCUAUAGGCCUCAUGUUUAUAUGCGGUACAUAUUCUAAAAGUACAUAUCUAGCAAUGAUACAAGAAGCUUUUCAGUUUCUCAAUUAUAUUAGCUAACAUCAGUGCUAAUAACACAACCAAUUGUAGGUCCUAAAAUUUUGAGAUAUGUGAGAGAACAAAACUCUUUCUAGCAAAUUGAAAAUUGAACAAAUCAACAUACUGAAAACAGAUGCAAAGGGACCCUUAUUUUCCCACUCACAAGCCUACUCUUUUCACCAAUGAGCCAGCAAAAGAAGGAAAUCAAGAUCCGGAUGCCCUCAGAUCUAGAUUCUACAUAAAUUGUAUGAACAACUAAAGAUCCUGACUUCGUUAUUUGGAUGACCAUGGUUGGACUUACCACAGAAAAAUGGAUCAACUGGCUUGGACAAAACGGAGAGGAGGAGGCCGCUGCUGCCACGUCAGACGAGGAGGAGCAGGAGUUUACUGGAUGUGCAACAACAGACUUACCCAGAUCUGGAGCAGGGAGCACGGGGUACAAUCAUCGCGUCCAGGGAAGCCGUGUUGGGCGGAGUGGUCCGACGAAGGUGGGAUGCAGCAAGGGUCGGAGCUGCAGGCAAGCGACGGUGGAAGUCACAGACAUUAAAGGUGGGCGUCGGUGGCGGAUGCAGGUUGACCCGGGCGGCGGUGGUGGAGGUGAGAGACGACCAGUAGUGGAGGUUGGGAGAGUGGAGGGCGAGCGGCGCCGGAACGAUUUAGGGCGAGCGGCGCCGGAACGAUUUAGGGCGGCGGCGCCGGCCAGGAAGUUUGAGGAGGGCGGCGGCCAUGGAGCAGAUGUGAGAUGGAGAGAUGGGACGAAGUGGGGAAUUGGUGGUCUAGGGAUUCUAUUCAUCUGGAUGGGCCUUUUUUCCUGUAGGCCCAUACACACAGGAAAAUCGGCGGAAGUUUCAUUUGAGGCGCCGAAGCGAAAAAAACGCGGGAGGUAAGAAUUUCCGGCGCCAGAGCCCGUUUCGCGGUGGUGAAAUGGCGGGCUGGGCCUCAAAUAUUUUUCCUGUGUUUGGACUCUCAGGAAAAUAGUCAAUUUUCCUGGGAGCCAAAUUUAGCCCGUCAGGAAGAUUUAUAUUCCUGUGAUGGGCUUCGGGCCUCACAGGAAAAUUCGUCACCUACAGGAAAAGUACAGUUUCUGGUAGUGAGAUACACAACACACACAAUAACGUGACAUAUGUGUCACAUCUAAACUAACUAUCAAGCCUAUCAUUUACAUCCUCCCUCAAUCUCAACAUGUGAAGGUUUAGAUUGGUCUUGAAGGCUUGAAGUUGUCGAGCUUGCAAGGGUUUUGUAAAACCAUCAGCAACUUGAUCACCUGUUGGAAUGAACCGUACUUCCAACAACUUCUGUGCAACUCUUUCUCGAACAAAGUGAUAAUCAAUUUCUAUAUGCUUUGUUCUUGCAUGAAAUACCGGAUUUGCAGAAAGAUAAGUUGCUCCAAGAUUAUCACACCACAACUGCGAGACAUGUGACCUUCCAAUACCCAAUUCAUUAAGUAAAGUUUCUAUCCACAUUACCUCAGCAGUUGCAUUUGCCAGAGACUUAUACUCUGCUUCUGUGCUUGACCGAGACACAGUUGCUUGUUUCUUUGCAUUCCAGGAUAUGAGGUUUGAACCAAGAAAGAUAGCAAAACCACCAGUGGACCUCCUAUCAUCAGGACAUCCAGCCCAAUCUGCAUCUGAAAAGGCACUUACUGCUGUUGAAGAAGACUUACAUAAUCUCAGCCCUGUUUCAACACUUCCUUGAAGAUACCUCAAAAUCCUUUUUACAGCUGUCCAAUGCACUGUGGUAGGAGCAUGUAGAAACUGACAAACCUUGUUAACAGAGAAGGAAAUAUCUGGCCUUGUUAAGGUUAAAUAUUGUAGUACACCAACUAUGCUUCUAUACUUUGUUCCUUCCUCUGGACUCAACAACACUCCUUCAUGCAAUGACAAUUUUUCAGUUGUAGACAUGGGUGUGUUGGAAGGUUUGCAAUCCUUCAUACCUACACGCUUGAUUAAAUCUCUGGCAUAUUUUUCUUGAGUUAGUACUAUACCAUCAUGCACCUUUUUAACUUCAAUUCCUAGGAAAUAAUGAAGCUCUCCUAGGUCCUUAAGAGCAAACUCAUUUUUCAACUGUUUUAACAAUGCUGAGGUGGCUUCUGAAGACGAGCUAGCAACAAUUAUGUCAUCAACAUAAAUUAACAUGUAUAUUAUCACCUUUCCUUUUUUAAAGAAGAACAGAGAAGUAUCUCCCUUGGAAGCUCGAAACCCAAGUUGUUGUAGUUUAGUGCUCAGCCUCGAGUACCAAGCUCUAGGGGCUUGUUUGAGUCCAUAUAAAGCCUUGUCCAGCUUGCACACAUGAUUAGGUUUAGAGCCAUCUUCAAACCCAGGUGGUUGUCUCAUAUAAACCUCCUCUUCGAGAACGCCGUGUAAGAACGCAUUCUGCACAUCCAGUUGGCGAAGAUUCCAUCCCCUGGAGAUAGCAACAGACAAAACAAGUCUAAUAGUAGCAGCUUUAACAACUGGACUAAAAGUGUCCUCAUAAUCAAUACCAUAUCGCUGUUUAAAGCCUUUAGCUACUAACCUAGCCUUGUAUCUGUCUAUUGUGCCAUCUGGUCUUUUCUUGAUUUUAUAAACCCAUUUACAAUCUAUAACAUUCCUCCCUCUUGCUUGCAAGGAACUAGGUGCCAUGUUUGAUUUUUCAUGAGUGCAUCAUACUCAACAUUCAUAGCAUUUUUCCAACUUGCAUUGUUCAAUGCUUCGGUCAAAUUUUGUGGUUCUCCAGUAGAAGCAAAAUUUGCAAACUUAAAGUUUUUUUCAUACCUGACCGUUCCAUCCUUGUAUGUUGAAGGCUUUAAAAUACCUUUUUGUGACCUUGUUGUUACACGUUGUGGCGCAGAGUCAACAGGCGCAGAAGAUCCCGAUCCACUACCUCGUACAGGAGCAGACCAAGCCACAGACAGAUCCUCCUCGACUGCUGCACGCCUGAGCUGGCUCGGAUCCCGCGCCUGUGGGCCUGGGGAGAGCGACCCGCCGCCUGGCGACAGCACGUGGUCCGCCGACCGACCGCCAUCAUUGCCUCGGGCGAUAGGCCCCUGCCCCCACCCGAUCCGCAACAACUGUCACGUGAGGUGGAGGAAUCCACCGCGCCGCCCGACCGGGGACCAAGCCCAGAUGAUGUGUCGCUCGCUGAGUGGGCCGGCGCGGAAUCUGGAGGGGGCGGCGUCUGUGGGGUCGCCAGAUCCUCCUCGGGAUCGUUUUCCGCGCCAAAUACGUCGGGAUCAGCGUCAGCAGGCGGAUCCUCCUUGUGUCCUGCGCCUGGCUGUAUAUGAACAUGCGGCUGCUGCAUAAAAUCACGGUUUGGAGCUGCAUUUUUUUACUGCUGCCACCAUUGUUAGUAAGGCUAUCCAACAAAUGAUCAUUAGUACUAUUUUCACUCCCCUGAUCAGUUGAAUUCAAAAGGUCUGGAGACAACAAAAGGAUUUCAGAACGUAGUCUGGCUCCGGCAUUGGGAUGUAGAGUGGAGAAGGGAAAUAUAUUUUCGUCAAAGACUACAUCCCUGGAAAUAUACACACGUCCUCUAGAGAUAUCAAGACAUUUGAAACCCUUAUGAAGAUUGCUAUAUCCAAGGAAAGCACAUUGCUUGGAUCUGAAUUGAAGCUUGUGUUUGUUAUAUGGCCGAAGUUUAGGCCAACAAGCACAACCAAAGAUUCGAAGAGCUGAAUAGUUGGGUUUUUCAUGAUACAAUCUUUCAAGAGGAGUUUUGAAGUUGAUAACUUUACUAGGUAGGUGAUUGAUCAAGUAUGUAGCAGCAAUGAAAGCUUCAUCCCAAAACUUUAGGGGCAUGCAAGCUUGAGCAAGAAGAGAUAGGCCAAUCUCAACUAUGUGCCGGUGUUUUCGUUCUGCCGAGCCAUUCUGUUGAUGAGCAUAGGGGCAAGAAACGUGAUGAGAUAUGCCAAUUUUUGUGAAAAAAGUGUUGAGUUUUUCGUACUCACCACCCCAGUCUGUUUGGAGAGCAAGAAUUUUGCGAUUGAAUUGCCUUUCAACAAGGUUUUGAAAGUCAUGAAUUUUUUGGAAAACUUCAGACUUGUGUUUGAUGAGAUAGAUCCAUGUGAACUUGCUAAAGUCAUCUAUGAAGCUUACAUAGAAUUUCUUCCUCCCUACUGUUUCAACAGCAGGUCCCCAAACAUCAGAGAAGACAAGUUCUAAGGGAAACUUUGAUUCACUUAUUGAUUUUGGAUAGGGUAGCUGGUGACUUCUGCCUUUUUGGCAAGCAUCACAUACAAACUCAUUAUUAAACUCAUUAUCACAUGGGAGGUUAUUGUUGCUAACAAUUUUUCUAACGAUAACUGAAGAAGGAUGACCUAAACGCCGGUGCCACCUAUCUGAAGACAGCUGAUGACACUUAGCACUUGCUUCUUGGCAUUUCCCCCCACGUGUUUGAUAGGAUAUAGACCACGUCUACCCCUGCCUCGAAGUAGAACCUUCCUCGUUCCCUGUUCCUUGACAAGAAAAAACCGAGGAUGAAUUUCAACGAAGGUAUUGUUGUUAGUGGCAAGCCGGCUAGCUGAAAUUAGGCUUUUAUCAGCUUCUGGAACAUGAAGAAUUUUGUUUAAGUGGAGAUCUCGAUUGGGAGUGUGAAUAGCUGAAUAACCAAUGUGUUCGAUAGCCAUACCUGAACCGCUUGCAGUGUGGAUCUAUUCGCCGCCGGUGUACCUGUCCCGCACCGUCAGCUUCUCAAGAUCGCCAGUGAUGUGGUCGGUUGCGCCGCUAUCCAGGUACCAGUUGGAGUCUACCCCGUACUGUGGGGCUGAAGGAAAUAUGCCCUAGAGGCAAUAAUAAAGUUAUUAUUUAUUUCCUUAUUUCAUGAUAAAUAUUUAUUAUUCAUGCUAGAAUUGUAUUAACCGGAAACAUGAUACAUGUGUGAAUACAUAGACAAACAUAUAGUCACUAGUAUGCCUCUACUUGACUAGCUCAUUAAUCAAAGAUGGUUAUGUUUCCUAACCAUAGACAUGUGUUGUCAUUUGAUUAAUGGGAUCACAUCAUUAGGAGAAUGAUGUGAUUGACAUGACCCAUUCCGUUAGCCUAGCACUUGAUCGUUUAGUAUGUUGCUAUUGCUUUCUUCAUGACUUAUACAUGUUCCUGUAACUAUGAGAUUAUGCAACCCCCGUUUACCGGAGGAACACUUUGGGUACUACCAAACGUCACAACGUAACUGGGUGAUUAUAAAGGAGUACUACAGGUGUCUCCAAAGGUACAUGUUGAGUUGGCGUAUUUCGAGAUUAGGUUUUGUCACUCCGAUUGUCGGAGAGUAUCUCUGGGCCCUCUCGGUAAUGCACAUCACUAUAAGCCUUGCAAGCAAUGUAACCAAUGAGUUGGUUACGGGAUGAUGCAUUACGUAACGAGUAAAGAGACUUGCCGGUAACGAGAUUGAACUAGGUAUUGGAUACCGACGAUCGAAUCUCGGGCAAGUAACAUACCGAUGACAAAGGGAACAACGUAUGUUGUUAUGCGGUUUGAGCGAUAAAGAUCUUCGUAGAAUAUGUAAGAACCAAUAUGGGCAUCCAGGUCCCGCUAUUGGUUAUUGACCGAGAAUGGUUCUAGGUCAUGUCUACAUAGUUCUCGAACCCGUAGGGUCCGCACGCUUAACGUUACGAUGAUAGUUUUAUUAUGAGUUUAUAAGUUUUGAUGUACCGAAGUUUGUUCGGAGUCCCGGAUGUGAUCACGGACAUGACGAGGAGUCUCGAAAUGGUCGAGACAUAAAGAUUGAUAUAUUGGAAGCCUAUGUUUGGACAUCGGAAUGGUUCCGGGUGAAAUCAGGAUUUUACCGGAACACCGGGGGGUUACCGGAACCCUCCCGGGGGUUAAUGGGCCUUAGUGGGCCAAGAGGGAGAAGAGGAGGGCCGGCCAGGGCAGGCCGCGCGCCCCCCCCCUUGUCCGAAUAGGACAAGGAAGGGGGGGGGGGGCGCCCCCCUUUCCUCUUUCCCCUCCCCUCUUUCCUUCUCCACCAAGGCAAGAGGGGGGAGUCCUACUCCCGGUGGGAGUAGGAUUCCUCCAGGCGCACCCCUAGGGUGCCGGCCGCACCUCCCCCCUCCCUCCUUUAUAUACGGGGGCGGGGGGUACCCCAUAGGCACACAAGUUGAUCUACGGAUCGUUCCUUAGCCGUGUGCGGUGCCCCCCUCCACCAUAUUCCACCUCGGUCAUAUCGUCGCAGAGUUUAGGCGAAGCCCUGCGCCGGUAGAACAUCAUCAUCGUCACCACGCCGUCGUGCUGACGGAACUCAUCUCCGGAGCUUUGCUGGAUCGGAGCCCGGAGAUCAUCAUCGAGCUGAACGUGUGCUGAACUCGAAGGUGCCGUACGUUCGGUGCUUGGAUCGGUCGGAUCGUGAAGAUGUACGACUACAUCAACCGCGUUGUCAUAACGCUUCCGCUUAACGGUCUACGAGGGUACGUGGAUAACACUCUCCCCUCUCGUUGCUAUACCAUCACCAUGAUCUUGCGUGUGCAUAGGAAUUUUUUUGAAAUUACUACGUUUCCCAACAGUGGCAUCCGAGCCUAGGUUUUAUGCGUUGAUGUUAUAUGCACGAGUAGAAGACAAGUGAGUUGUGGGCGAUACAAGUCAUACUGCUUACCAGCAUGUCAUACUUUGGUUCAGCGGUAUUGUUGGAUGAAGCGGCCUGGACCGACAUUACGCGUACGCUUACGCGAGACUGGUUUUACCGCCGUGCUUUGCACACAGGUGACUAGCGGGUGUCAGUUUCUCCAACUUUAGUUGAACCGAGUGUGGCUACGCCCGGUCCUUGCGAAGGUUAAAACAGCACCAACUUGACGAACUAUCGUUGUGGUUUUUGAUGCAUAGGUAAGAACGGUUCUUGCUAAGCCCGUAGCAGCCACGUAAAAUUUGCAACAACAAAGUAGAGGACGUCUAACUUGUUUUUGCAGGGCAUGUUGUGAUGUGAUAUGGUCAAGACGUGAUAAGAUAUAAGUUGUUGUAUGAGAUGAUCAUGUUUUGUUGAAGUUAUCGGCAACUGGCAGAAGCCCUAUGGAUGUCUCUUUGUUGCAUAAGAUGCAAGUGCCAAAUAAUUGCUUUACUUUAUCGCUAUACGAUAGCAAUAGUUGCAAGAGCAAUAGUUGGUGAGACAACCAUGUGAUGACACAUUGAUAUAGAUCAAGAUGAUGAAGAUCAUGGUGUCGUGCCGGUGACGAUAGAGAUCAUGACAGUACUUUGGAGAUGGAGAUCAAAGGCGCAAGAUGAUCAUGGCCAUAUCUUGUCACAUAUUUUGAUUGCAUAUGAUGUUUAUAUAUUAUACAUCUUAUUCUUGCUUUGAUUGACGGUAGCAUUUUAAGAUGAUCUCUCACUAAUUAUCAAGAAGUGUUCUCCCUGAGUAUGCACCGUUGCCAAAGUUCGUCGUGCCCAGACUGUUGGCGAACGUUGCAGAAAACAAAAAAUUUUCCUACGGUUUCACCAAGAUCCAUCUAUGAGUUCAUCUAGCAACGAGUCAUGGGAGAGUGAUUGCAUCUACAUACCACUUGUAGAUCGCGUGCGGAAGCGUUCAAUGGAACGGGGUUGAUGGAGUCGUACUCGCCGUGAUUCAGAUCACCGAUGACCUAGUGCCGAACGGACAGCACCUCCGCGUUCAACACACGUACGGAACAGCCACGUCUCCUCCUUCUUGAUCCAGCAAGGGGAGAGGAGAGGUUGAGGGAGAUGGCACCACCAGCAGCACGACGACGUGGUGUUGAUGGAGCUGCAGUACUCCGGCAGAUCUUCGCUAAGCGCUAUGGAGGAGGAGGAGGUGUCGGGGAGGGAGAAGGAGGCAACCAAAGGCGUGGGAUGAGAGCCCUCCUUCCCCCACUAUAUAUAGGAGGGCCAAGGGGGGUUGGCCGGCCCUAGGAGAUCAAAUCUCCUAGGGGGGGCGGCGGCCAAGGGAGGUUUCCCUCCCCCCCAAGGCACCUAGAGGUGCCUUCCACCACUUGGACUCCUCCCCCAUGGAAACCCUAGGCGCAUGGGCCUAGUGGGGCUGGUGCCCUGGGCCCAUGCAGGCCAAGGCGCACCCCCUACAGCCCAUGUGGCCCCCCCGGGGCAGGUGGCCCCACCCGGUGGGCCCUCGGGACCCUUUCGGUGGUCCCGGUACAAUACCGAUAACCCCGAAACUUGUCCCAUGUCCGAAAUAGUACUUCCCAUAUAUAAAUAUUUACCUCCGGACCAUUCCGGAACUCCUCGUGACGUCCGGGAUCUCAUCCGGGACUCCAAACAACAUUCGGGUUACUGCAUAUACAUAUCCCUACAACCCUAGCGUCACCGAACCUUAAGUGUGUAGAUCCUACGGGUUCGGGAGACAUGUAGACAUGACCGAGAUUGCUCUCCGGUCAAUAACCAACAGCGGGAUCUGGAUACCCAUGUUGGCUCCCACAUGAUCCACGAUGAUCUCAUUGGAUGAACCACGAUGUCGAGGAUUUAAUCAACCCCGUAUGCAAUUCCCUUUGUCAAUCGAUAUGUUACUUGCCCGAGAUUCGAUCAUCAGUAUCCCAAUACCUCGUUCAAUCUCGUUACCGGCAAGUCACUUUACUCGUACCGCAAUGCAUGAUCCCGUGACCAGACACUUGGUCACUUUGAGCUCAUUAUGAUGAUGCAUUACCGAGUGGGCCCAGUGAUACCUCUCCGUCAUACGGAGUGACAAAUCCCAGUCUCGAUCUGUGUCAACCCAACAGACACUUUCGGAGAUACCUGUAGUGCACCUUUAUAGUCACCCAGUUACGUUGUGACGUUUGAUACACCCAAAGCACUCCUACGGUAUCCGGGAGUUACACGAUCUCAUGGUCAAAGGAAAAGAUACUUGACAUUAGAAAAGCUCUAGCAAACGAACUACACGAUCUCACGCUAUGCUUAGGAUUGGGUCUUGUCCAUCACAUCAUUAUCCUAAUGAUGUGAUCCCGUUAUCAAUGACAUCCAAUGUCCAUAGCCAGGAAACCAUGACUAUCUAUUGAUCAACGAGCUAGUCAACUAGAGGCUUACUAGGGACAUGUUGGUGUUUGUUAUUCACACAUGUAUUACGAUUUCCGGAUAAUACAAUUAUAGCAUGAAUAAAGACAAUUAUCAUGAACAAAGAAAUAUAAUAAUAAUGCUUUUAUUAUUGCCUCUAGGGCAUAUUUCCAACAGUCUCCCACUUGCACUAGAGUCAAUAAUCCAGUUACAUUGUGAUGAAUCGAACACCCAUGGAAUUCUGGUGUUGAUCAUGUUUUGCUCUAGGAGAGGUUUAGUCAAUGGAUCCGCUACAUUCAGGUCCGUAUGUACUUUACAAAUCUCUAUGUCUCCAUCUUGAACAUUUUCACGAAUGGAGUUGAAGCGACGCUUGAUGUGCCUUGUCUUCUUGUGAAACCUAGGCUCCUUGGCAAGUGCAAUAGCUCCAGUGUUGUCACAAAAGAGCUUGAUUGGCCCCGACGCAUUGGGUAUGACUCCUAGGUCGGUGAUGAACUCCUUCACCCAUAUUGCUUCAUGUGCUGCCUCCGAGGCUGCCAUGUACUCCGCUUCACAUGUAGAUCCCGCCACGACGCUCUGCUUGCAACUGCACCAGCUUACUACCCCACCAUUCAAAAUAUACACGUAUCCGGUUUGUGACUUAGAGUCAUCCAGAUCUGUGUCGAAGCUAGCGUCGACGUAACCCUUUACGACGAGCUCUUCGUCACCUCCAUAAAUGAGAAACAUUUCCUUAGUCCUUUUCAGGUACUUCAGGAUAUUCUUGACCGCUGUCUAGUGUUUCUUGCCGGGAUUACUUUGGUACCUUCCUACCAAACUUACGGCAAGGUUUACAUCAGGUCUGGUACACAGCAUGGCAUACAUAAUAGAACCUAUGGCUGAGGCAUGGGGGAUGACACUCAUCUCUUCUAUAUCUUCUGCCGUGGUCGGACAUUGAGCUGAGCUCAAUUUCACACCUUGCAAAACAGGCAAGAACCCUUUCUUGGACUGAUCCAUUUUGAACUUCUUCAAAAUCUUAUCAAGAUAUGUGCUUUGUGAAAGACCUAUGAGGCGUCUCGAUCUAUCCCUAUAGAUCUUGAUGCCUAAUAUAUAAGCAGCUUCUCCAAGGUCCUUCAUUGAAAAACUCUUAUUCAAGUAGGCCUUGAUGCUGUCCAAGAGUUCUAUAUCAUUUCCCAUCAAAAGUAUGUCAUCUACAUAUAGUAUGAGAAAUGCUAUAGAGCUCCCACUCACUUUCUUGUAAACACAGGCUUCUCCAUAAGUCUGUGUAAACCCAAACGCUUUGAUCAUCUCAUCAAAACGAAUGUUCCAACUCCGAGAUGCUUGCACCAGCCCAUAAAUCGAGCGUUGGAGCUUGCACACCUUGUCAGCAUUCUUAGGAUCGACAAAACCUUCCGGCUGCAUCAUAUACAAUUCUUCCUUAAGGAAACCAUUAAGGAAUGCCGUUUUGAUGUCCAUUUGCCAAAUUUCAUAAUCAUAAAAUGCGGCAAUUGCUAACAUGAUUCGGACGGACUUCAGCUUCGCUACCGGUGAGAAAGUCUCAUCGUAGUCAACCCCUUGAACUUGUCGAUAACCUUUAGCGACAAGCCGAGCUUUAUAGAUGGUCACAUUACCAUCCGCGUCUGUCUUCUUCUUAAAGAUCCAUUUAUUUUCUAUGGCUCGCCGUUCAACGGGCAAGUCAGUCAAAGUCCAUACUUCGUUUUCAUACAUGGAUCCUAUCUCGGAUUUCAUGGCUUCUAGCCAUUUGUCGGAAUCCGGGCCCGCCAUCGCUUCUUCAUAGUUCGAAGGUUCACUGUUGUCUAACAACAUGAUUUCCAAGACAGGGUUGCCGUACCACUCUGGUGCGGAACGUGUCCUUGUGGACCUUCAAAUUUCAGUAGGAGCUUGAUCAGAAGUAUCUUGAUCAUUAUCAUUAACUUCCUCUCUAGUCGGUGCAGGCACCUCAGGAACAUUUUCUUGAGUUGCGCCAUUUUCCGGUUCAAGAGGUAAUACUUCAUCAAGCUCCACUUUCCUCCCACUUACUUCUUUCGAGAGAAACUCUUUCUCCAGAAAGGACCCAUUCUUGGCAACAAAGAUCUUGCCUUCGGAUCUGAGGUAGAAGAUAUACCCAAUAGUUUCUUUAGGGUAUCCUAUGAAGACGCAUUUUUCCGAUUUGGGUUCGAGCUUUUCAGGUUGAAGUUUCCUGACAUAAGCAUCGCAUCUCCAAACUUUUAGAAACGAUAGCUUAGGUUUCUUCCCAAACCAUAAUUCAAACGGUGUUGUCUCAACGGAUUUCGACGGUGCCCUAUUUAAAGUGAAUGCGGCAGUCUCUAAAGCAUAGCCCCAAAAAGAUAGUGGUAAAUCGGCAAGAGACAUCAUAGAUCGCACCAUAUCUAAUAGAGUGCGAUUACGACGUUCGGACACACCAUUAUGCUGAGGUGUUCCAGGCGGCAUGAGUUGUGAAACUAUUCCACAUUUUCUUAAGUGUGUGCCAAAUUCGUGACUCAAGUAUUCUCCUCCUCGAUCUGAUCGUAGGAACUUGAUUUUCCUGUCACGUUGAUUCUCAACUUCACUCUGAAAUUCCUUGAACUUUUCAAAGGUUUCAGACUUGUGUUUCAUUAGGUAGAUAUACCCAUAUCUACUCAAAUCAUCAGUGAGGGUGAGAACAUAUCGAUAGCCACCGCGAGCCUCAACACUCAUUGGACCGCACACAUCAGUAUGUAUGAUUUCCAAUAAGUUGGUUGCUCGCUCCAUUGUUCCUGAGAACGGAGUCUUGGUCAUUUUACCCAUGAGGCAUGGUUCGCACGUGUCAAAUGAUUCGUAAUCAAGAGACUCUAAAAGUCCAUCAGCAUGGAGCUUCUUCAUGCGUUUGACACCUAUGUGACCAAGGCGGCAGUGCCACAAGUAUGUGGGACUAUCACUAUCAAUCUUACAUCUUUUGGUACUUACACUAUGAAUAUGUGUAGCAUUACGCUCGAGAUUCAUAAAGAAUAAACCAUUCACCAUCGGAGCAUGACCAUAAAACAUAUCUCUCAUAUAAAUAGAACAACCAUUAUUCUCGGAUUUAAAUGAGUAGCCAUCUCGAAUUAAACGAGAUCCAGAUACAAUGUUCAUGCUCAAACUUGGCACUAAAUAACAAUUAUUGAGGUUCAAAACUAAUCCCGUAGGUAAAUGUAGAGGUAGCGUGCCGACGGCGAUCACAUCGACCUUGGAACCAUUCCCGACGCGCAUCGUCACCUCGUCCUUUGCCAGUCUCCGUUUAUUCCGCAGCUCCUGCUGUGUGUUACAAAUAUGAGCAACGGCACCGGUAUCAAAUACACAGGAGUCACUACGAUUACUGGUAAGGUACACAUCAAUUACAUGUAUAUCAAAUAUACCUUUGGUUUUGCCGGCCUUCUUGUCCGCUAAGUAUUUGGGGCAGUUCCGCUUCCAAUGACCACUUUCCUUGCAAUAAAAGCACUCAGUCUCGGGCUUGGGUCCAUUCUUUGGCUUCUUCCCGGCAGCUUGCUUGCUGGGCGUGGCAACCACCUUGCCGUCCUUCUUGAAGUUCUUUUUACCCUUGCCCUUCUUGAACUUAGUGGUUUUAUUGACCAUCAACACUUGAUGUUCCUUCUUGACUUCUACCUCUGUUGAUUUCAGCAUAGCAAAUACUUCAGGAAUGGUCUUCUCCAUCCCCUGCAUAUUGAAGUUCAUCACAAAGCUCUUGUAGCUCGGUGGAAGCGACUGGAGGAUUGUGUCAAUGACCGCAUCAUCCGGGAGAUUAACUCCCAGCUGAGUCAAGCGGUUAUGUAACCCAGACAUAGUGAGUAUGUGCUCACUGACAGAACUAUUUUCCUCCAUCUUACAGCUGAAGAAUUUGUCGGAGACUUCAUAUCUCUCGACCCGGGCAUGAGCUUGGAAAACCAUUUUCAGCUCUUCGAACAUCUCAUAUGCUCCAUGUCUCUCAAAACGCUUUUGGAGCCCCGGCUCUAGGCUGUAAAGCAUGCCGCACUGAACGAGGGAGUAGUCAUCGGUACGUGCCUGCCAAGCAUUCAUAACGUCUUGUUCUGCAGGGAGAACAUGUGCGUCACCCAGCGGUGCUUGUAGGACAUAAUCUUUCUUGGCAGCUAUGAGGAUGAUCCUCAGGUUCCGGACCCAGUCCGUAUAGUUGCUGCCAUCGUCUUUCAGCUUGGUUUUCUCUAGGAACGCGUUGAAGUUGAGGACUACGUUGGCCAUUUGAUCUACAGGACAUAUUGUAAAAUAUUUAGACUAAGUUCAUGAUAAUUAAGUUCAUCUAAUCAAAUUAUAAUGAACUCCCACUCAGAUUUGACAUCCCUUUAGUCAUCUAAGUGUUACACGAUCCGAGUCGACUAGGCCGUGUCCGAUCAUCACGUGAGACGGACUAGUCAUCGUCGGUGAACAUUCUCAUGUUGAUCGUAUCUUCCAUACGACUCGUGUUCGACCUUUCGGUCUCCGUGUUCCGAGGCCAUGUCUGUACAUGCUAGGCUCGUCAAGUUAACCCUAAGUGUUUUCGCUGUGUAAAACUGUCUUACACCCGUUGUAUGUGAACGUAAGAAUCCAUCACACCCGAUCAUCACGUGGUGCUUAGAAGCGACAAACUGUAGCAACGGUGCACAGUUAGGGGAGAACACUUCUUGAAAUUUUGUAAGGGAUCAUCUUAUUUACUACCGUCGUUCUAAGUAAACAAGAUGCAUAAAACAUAAUAAACAUCACAUGCAAUUAUAUAAAGUAGUGACAUGAUAUGGCCAAUAUCAUAUAGAUCCUUUGAUCUUCAUCUUCGGGGCUCCAUGAUCAUCUUGUCACCGGCAUGACACCAUGAUCUCCAUCAUCAUGAUCUCCAUCAUCGUGUCUUCAUGAAGUUGUCACGCCAACGACUACUUCUACUUCUAUGACUAACACGUUUAGUAAUGAAGUAAAGUAGUUUACAUGGCGUUCUUCAAUGACACGCAGGUCAUACAAAAAAUAAAGACAACUCCUAUGGCUCCUGCCGGUUGUCAUACUCAUCGACAUGCAAGUCGUGAUUCCUAUUACAAUAGCAUGAACAUCUCAUACAUGACAUAUAGAUCAUUCAUCAUUCACCACAACUUUGGCCAUAUCAUAUCACAAUGCACUUGCUGCAAAAACAAGUUAGACGUCCUCUAAUUGUUGUUGCAAGUUUUACGUGGCUGAAGUAGGGUUCUAGCAAGAACGUUUUCUUACCUACGUGAAACCACAACGUGAUUUGUCAACUUCUAUUUACCCUUCAUAAGGACCCUUUUCAUCGAAUCCGCUCCAACUAAAGUAGGAGAGACAGACACCCGCCAGCCACCUUAUGCAACUAGUGCAUGUUAGUCGGUGGAACCGGUCUCACGUAAGCGUACGUGUAAGGUUGGUCCGGGCCGCUUCAUCCCACAAUACCGCUGAAGCAAGAUAAGACUAGUAACGGCAAGAGAGUUGACAACAUCUAUGCCCACAACAAAUUGUGUUCUACUCGUGCAAGAAGAACUACGCAUAGACCUAGCUCAUGAUGCCACUGUUGGCGAACGUUGCAGAAAACAAAAAAUUUUCCUACGGUUUCACCAAGAUCCAUCUAAGAGUUCAUCUAGCAAUGAGUCAUGGGAGAGUGAUUGCAUCUACAUACCACUUGUAGAUCGCGUGCGGAAGCGUUCAAUGGAACGGGGUUGAUGGAGUCGUACUCGCCGUGAUUCAGAUCACCGAUGACCUAGUGCCGAACGGACAGCACCUCUGCGUUCAACACACGUACGGAACAGCCACGUCUCCUCCUUCUUGAUCCAGCAAGGGGAGAGGAGAGGUUGAGGGAGAUGGCACCACCAGCAGCACGACGGCGUGGUGUUGAUGGAGCUGCAGUACUCCGGCAGAUCUUCGCUAAGCGCUAUGGAGGAGGAGGAGGUGUCGGGGAGGGAGAAGGAGGCAACCAAAGGCGUGGGAUGAGAGCCCUCCUUCCCCCACUAUAUAUAGGAGGGCCAAGGGGGGUUGGCCGGCCCUAGGAGAUCAAAUCUCCUAGGGGGGGCGGCGGCCAAGGGGGGUUUCCCUCCCCCCCAAGGCACCUAGAGGUGCCUUCCACCACUUGGACUCCUCCCCCAUGGAAACCCUAGGCGCAUGGGCCUAGUGGGGCUGGUGCCCUUGGCCCAUGCAGGCCAAGGCGCACCCCCUACAGCCCAUGUGCCCCCCCCGGGGCAGGUGGCCCCACCCGGUGGGCCCCCGGGACCCUUCCGGUGGUCCCGGUACAAUACCGAUAACCCCGAAACUUGUCCCGAUGCCCGAAAUAGUACUUCCCAUAUAUAAAUCUUUACCUCCGGACCAUUCCGGAACUCCUCGUGACGUCCGGGAUCUCAUCCGGGACUCCGAACAACAUUUGGGUUACUGCAUAUACAUAUCCCUACAACCCUAGCGUCACCGAACCUUAAGUGUGUAGACCCUACGGGUUCGGGAGACAUGUAGACAUGACCGAGAUUGCUCUCCGGUCAAUAACCAACAGCGGGAUCUGGAUACCCAUGUUGGCUCCCACAUGCUCCACAAUGAUCUCAUCGGAUGAACCACGGUGUCGAGGAUUUAAUCAACCCCGUAUGCAAUUCCCUUUGUCAAUCGAUAUGUUACUUGCCCGAGAUUCGAUCGUCGGUAUCCCAAUACCUCGUUCAAUCUCGUUACCGGCAAGUCACUUUACUCGUACCGCAAUGCAUGAUCCCGUGACCAGACACUUGGUCACUUUGAGCUCAUUAUGAUGAUGCAUUACCGAGUGGGCCCAGUGAUACCUCUCCGUCAUACGGAGUGACAAAUCCCAGUCUCGAUCUGUGUCAACCCAACAGACACUUUCGGAGAUACCUGUAGUGCACCUUUAUAGUCACCCAGUUACGUUGUGACGUUUGAUACACCCAAAGCACUCCUACGGUAUCCGGGAGUUACACGAUCUCAUGGUCAAAGGAAAAGAUACUUGACAUUAGAAAAGCUCUAGCAAACGAACUACACGAUCUCACGCUAUGCUUAGGAUUGGGUCUUGUCCAUCACAUCAUUAUCCUAAUGAUGUGAUCCCGUUAUCAAUGACAUCCAAUGUCCAUAGCUAGGAAACCAUGACUAUCUAUUGAUCAACGAGCUAGUCAACUAGAGGCUUACUAGGGACAUGUUGGUGUCUGUUAUUCACACAUGUAUUACGAUUUCCAGAUAAUACAAUUAUAGCAUGAAUAAAGACAAUUAUCAUGAACAAAGAAAUAUAAUAAUAAUGCUUUUAUUAUUGCCUCUAGGGCAUAUUUCCAACACAGACACCACGUGAUGAUCGGGUGUGAUAAGCUCUACGUCCAUCUACAACGGGUGCAAGCCAGUUUUGCACACGCAGAAUACUCAGGUUAAACUUUACGAGCCUAGCAUAUGCAGAUAUGGACUCGAAACACGGAGACCGAAAGGUCGAGCGUGAAUCAUAUAGUAGAUAUGAUCAACAUAGUGAUGUUCACCAUUGAAAACUACUCCAUCUCACGUGAUGAUCAGUUAUGGUUUAGUUGAUUUGGAUCACGUGAUCACUUAGAUUACUAGAGAGAUGUCUGUCUAAGUGGGAGUUCUUAAGUAAUAUGAUUAAUUGAACUUAAAUUUAUCAUGAACUUAGUCCUGGUAGUAUUUUGCAAAUUAUGUUGUAGAUCAAUAGCUCGCGUUGUUGCUCUCCGUUUAUAUUUUGAUAUGUUCCUAGAGAAAAAUUGUGUUGAAAAAUGUUAGUAGCAAUGAUGCAGAUUGGAUCCGCGAUCCGAGGUUUAUCCUCAUUGCUACACAGAAGAAUUAUGUCCUUAAUGCACCACUAGGUGACAGACCUAUUGCAGGAGCAGAUGCAGACGUUAUGAACGUUUGGCUAGCUCGAUAUGAUGACUACUUGAUAGUUUUGUGCACCAUGCUUUAUGGCUUAGAAUCGGGACUUCAAAGAUGUUUUGAACAUCAUGGACCAUAUGAGAUGUUCUAGGAAUUGAAGUUAAUAUUUCAAGCAAAUACCCGAGUUGAGAGAUAUGAAGUCUCCAAUAAGUUCUAUAGCUAAAAUAUGGAGGAGAAUCGCUCAACUAGUGAGCAUGUGCUCAGAUUGUUUGGGUACUUCAAUCGCUUGAAUCAAGUGGGAGUUAAUCUUCCAGAUAAGAUAGUGAUUGAUAGAAUUCUCUAGUCACCAUCACUAAGUUACUAGAACUUCGUGAUGAACUAUAGUAUGCAAGGGAUGACGAACACAAUUCCCGAGCUCUUCGUGAUGUUGAAAUCGACGAAGGUAGAAAUCAAGAAAGAGCAUCAAGUGUUGAUGAUUGACAAGACCACUAGUUUCAAGAAAAGGGCAAAGGGAAAGAAAGGGAAACUUCAAAGUAGAAUGGCAAACAAGUUGUCACUCCCAUGAAGAAGACCAAAGCUGAACCAAAGCCUGAAACUGAGUGUUUACACUGCAAAGGAAAUGGUCACUGGAAGCGGAAAUGCCCUGAAUAUUUGGUGGAUAAGAAGGAUGGCAAAAUGAACAAGGGUAUAUUUGAUAUACAGGUUAUUGAUGUGUGCCUUACUAGUGUUUAUAGUAGCCCCUGAGUAUUUGAUACUUGUUUAGUUGCUAAGAUUAGUAACUCGAAACAGGAGUUACAUAAUAAACAGAGACUAGUUGAGGGGAAGUGACGAUGAGUGUUGGAAGUAGUUCCAAGAUUGAUAUGAUCAUCAUCGCACACUCCCUAUACUUUUGGGAUUAGUAUUAAACCUAAAUAAAUGUUAUUUGGCGUUUGCGUUGAGCAUGAAUAUGAUUUGAUCAUGUUUAUUGCAAUACGGUUAUUCAUUUAAAAUCAGAGAAUAAUUGUUGUUCUGUUUACAUGAAUAAAACCUUCAAUGGUCAUACACCCAAUGAAAAUAGUUUGUUGGAUCUCGAUCAUAGUGAUACACAUAUUCAUAAUAUUGAUGCCAAAAGAUGCAAAGUUAAUAAUGAUAGUGCAAUUUAUUUGUGGCACUGCCGUUUGGGUCAUAUCGGUGUAAAGCGCAUGAAGAAACUCCAUAAAGAUGGAUUUUCGGAAUCACUUGGUUAUGAAUCAUUUGAUGCUUGCGAACCGUGCCUUUUGGGCAAGAUGACUAAAACUCCGUUCUUCGGAACAAUGGAACAAGCUACUGACUUAUUGGAAAUAAUACAUACCGAUGUAUGCGAUCCAAUGAGUGUUGAUGCUCGUGGCAAAGUAUCGUUAUUUUCUGACCUUCACAAGAUGAUUUGAGCAGAUCUGGGUAUAUCUACUUGAUGAAACAUAAAUCUAAAAUAGUAGAAAGGUUCAAAGAAUUUCAGAGUGAAGUGGAAAAAUCAUCGUAACAAGAAAAUAAAAUUUGUGCGAUCUGAUCGCGGAGACGAAUAUUUGAGUUACGAGUUUGGUCUUCAAUUAAAAUAAUGUGGAAUAGUUUCACAGCUCACGCCACCUGGAACACCACAACGUUAUGGUGUGUCCGAACGUCGUAACCGCACUUUAUUGGAUAUGGUGCGAUUUAUGAUGUCUCUUAUUGAUUUACCAUCAUCGUUUUGGGGUUAUGCAUUAGAGACAGCUGCAUUCACAUUAAAAGGGCACCAUCUAAAUCCAUUGAGACGACACCGUAUGAACUAUGGUUUAGCAGUAAACCUAAGUUGUCGUUUCUUAAAAGUUUGGAGUUGCAAUGCUUAUAUGAAAAAGGUUUUCAACCUGAUAAGCUCAAACCCAAAUCGGAGAAGUGCGUCUUCAUAGAAUACCCAAAGGAAACUGUUGGGUACUCCUAUCACAGAUCCGAAGGCAAAACAUUCGUUGCUAAGAAUGGAUCCUAUCUAGAGAAGGAGUUUCUCUCGAAAGAAGUGAGUGGGAGGAAAGUAGAACUUGAUGAGGUAACUGUACCUUCUCCCGAAUUGGAAAAUAUUUCAUCACUGAAAUCAGUUCCAGUGAUUCCUACACCAAUUAGUGAGGAAGCUAAUGAUAAUGAUCAUGAAACUUUAGAUCAAGUUAUUACAGAACCUCGUAGGUCUUCUAGAGUACGGUCCGCACCAGAGUGGUACGGUAAUCCUAUUCUGGAAGUCAUGUUACUAGACCAUGAUGAACCUACGAACUAUGAGGAAGCGAUGAUGAGCCCAGAUUCCGCGAAAUGGCUUGAGGCCAUAAAAUCUGAGAUAUGAUCCAUGUAUGAGAACAAAGUAUGGACUUUGGUGGAAUUGCCCGAUGAUCGGCAAGCCAUAUUGUAUAAAUGGAUCUUCAAGAGGAAGACGGAUGUUGAUAGUAGUGUUACUAUCUACAAAGCUCAACUUGUCACAAAAAGGUUUUUGACAAGUUCAAGGUGUUGACUACAAUGAGAUUUUCUCAACUGUAGCUGUGCUUAAGUCUGUCCGAAUCAUGUUAGCAAUUGCCAAAAUUUAUGAAAUCUGGCAAAUGGAUGUCAAAACUGCAUUCCUUAAUGGUUUUCUUGAAGAAGAGUUGUAUAUGAUACAACCAGAAGGCUUUGUCAAUCCUAAAGGUGCUAACAAAGUGUGCAAGCUCCAGCGAUCCAUUUAUGGACUGGUUCAAGCCUUUCGGAGUUGGAAUAUACGCUUUGAUGAGUUGAUCAAAGCAUAUGGUUUUAUACAGACUUUUUGAGAAGCCUGUAUUUACAAGAAAGUGAAUGGGAGCUCUGUAGCAUUUCUAAUAUUAUAUGUGGAUGACAUAUUGUUGAUUGGAAAUGAUAUAAAAAUUCUGGAUAGCAUGAAAGGAUACUUGAAUAAGAGUUUUUCAAAGAAAGACCUCGGUGAAGCUGCUUACACAUUGAGCAUCAAAAUCUAUAUAGAUAGAUCAAGACGCUUGAUAAGAUUUUUCAAUGAAUACCUUGAUAAAUUUUUGAAAUAGUUCAAAAUGGAACAGUCAAAGAAGGAGUUCUUGUUGGGUUUCGUAGUAAUUUCAAAAAUUUCCUACGCACACGCAAGAUCAUGUGAUGCAUAGCAACGAGGGGGAGAGUGUUGUCUACGUACCCAACGCAGACCGACUGCGGAAGCGAUGACACGACGUAGAGGAAGUAGUCGUACGUCUUCACGAUCCAACCGAUCAAGCACCGAAACUGCGGUACCUCCGAGUUCAAGCACACGUUCAGCUCGAUGACGAUCCCCGGCCUCCGAUCCAGCAAAGUGUCGGGGAAGAGUUCCGUCAGCACGACGGCGUGGUGACGAUCUUGAUGAACUACAGCAGCAGGGCUUCGCCUAAACUCCGCUACAGUAUUAUCGAGGAAUAUGGUGGCAGGGGGCACCGCACACGGCUAAGGAACAGAUCACGUGGAUCAACUUGUGUGUUCUAGGGUGCCCCCCUGCCCCCGUAUAUAAAAGAUCCAAGGGGGAGGGUGCGGCCGGCCUAGAGGAGGCGCGCAGGAGGAGUCCUACUCCUACCGGGAGUAGGACUCCCCUCCCGUUCCUUGUCCAACUAGGAGAGGUGGAGGGAGAGAAGGAAAGGGGGGGGGCGCCGCCCCUCCCUCCUUGUCCAAUUCGGACUAGGGGGAUAGGGGGCGCGCAGCCUGCCCUGGCAGCCCCUUCCUCUUCUCCACAUUAGGCCCAUAAGGCCCAUUAACCCCCCGGGGGGUUCCGGUAACCCCCCGGUGCUCCGAUUUUAUCCGAUACUCUUCCGGAACCUUUCCGGUGUCCGAAUAUAGUCAUCCAAUAUAUCAAUCUUUAUGUCUCGACCAUUUCGAGACUCCUCGUCAUGUCCCCAAUCUCAUCCGGGACUCCGAACUCCUUCGGUACAUCAAAACUCAUAAACUCAUAAUACAACUGUCAUCGAAACCUUAAGCGUGCGGACCCUACGGGUUCGAGAACAAUGUAGACAUGACCGAGACACGUCUCCACUCAAUAACCAAUAGCGGGACCUGGAUGCCCAUAUUGGCUCCUACAUAUUCUACGAAGAUCUUUAUCGGUCAGACCGCAUAACAACAUACGUUGUUCCCUUUGUCAUCGGUAUGUUACUUGCCCGAGAUUCGAUCGUCGGUAUCCAAUACCUAGUUCAAUCUCGUUACCGGCAAGUCUCUUUACUCGUUCCGUAAUACAUCAUCUCGCAACUAACCCAUUAGUUGCAAUGCUUGCAAGGCUUAUGUGAUGUGCAUUACCGAGAGGGCCCAGAGAUACCUCUCCGACAAUCGGAGUGACAAAUCCUAAUCUUGAAAUACGCCAACCCAACAUCUACCUUUGGAGACACCUGUAAUGCUCCUUUAUAAUCACCCAGUUACGUUGUGACGUUUGGUAGCACCCAAAGUGUUCCUCCGGCAAACGGGAGUUGCAUAAUCUCAUAGUCAUAGGAACAUGUAUAAGUCAUGAAGAAAGCAAUAGCAACAUACUAAACGAUCAGGUGCUAAGCUAAUGGAAUGGGUCAUGUCAAUCAGAUCAUUCUACUAAUGAUGUGACCUCGUUAAUCAAAUAACAACUUAUUGUUCAUGGUCAGGAAACAUAACCAUCUUUGAUUAACGAGCUAGUCAAGUAGAGGCAUACUAGUGACACUUUGUUUGUCUAUGUAUUCACACAUGUAUUAUGUUUCCGGUUAAUACAAUUCUAGCAUGAAUAAUAAACAUUUAUCAUGAUUAUAAGGAAAUAAAUAAUAACUUUAUUAUUGCCUCUAGGGCAUAUUUCCUUCAGUCUCCCACUUGCACUAGAGUCAAUAAUCUAGAUUACACUGUAAUGAUUCUAACACCCAUGGAGCCUUGGUGCUGAUCAUGUUUUGCUCGUGGAAGAGGCUUAGUCAAUGGGUCUGCAACAUUCUGAUCCGUAUGUAUCUUGCAAAUCUCUAUGUCUCCCACCUGGACUAGAUCCCGGAUGGAGUUGAAGCGUCUCUUGAUGUGUUUGGUCCUUUUGUGAAAUCUGGAUUCCUUUGCCAAGGCAAUUGCACCAGUAUUGUCACAAAAGAUUUUCAUUGGACCCGAUGCAUUAGGUAUGACACCUAGAUCGGAUAUGAACUCCUUCAUCCAGACUCCUUCGUUUGCUGCUUCCGAAGCAGCUAUGUACUCCGCUUCACAUGUAGAUCUCGCUACGACGCUUUGUUUAGAACUGCACCAACUGACAGCUCCACCGUUUAAUGUAAACAUGUAUCCGGUUUGCAAUUUAGAAUCGUCCGGAUCAGUGUCAAAGCUUGCAUCAACGUAACCUUUUACGGUGAGCUCUUUGUCACCUCCAUAUACGAGAAACAUAUCCUUAGUCCUUUUCAGGUAUUUCAGGAUGUUCUUGACCGCUGUCCAGUGAUCCACUCCUGGAUUACUUUGGUACCUCCCUGCUAAACUUAUAGCAAGGCACACAUCAGGUCUGGUACACAGCAUUGCAUACAUGAUAGAUCCUAUGGCUGAUGCAUAGGGAACAUCUUUCAUAUUCUCUCUAUCUUCUGCAGUGGUCGGGCAUUGAGUCUUACUCAACUUCACACCUUGUAACACAGGCAAGAACCCUUUCUUUGCUUGAUCCAUUUUGAACUUCUUCAAGAUUUUAUCAAGGUAUGUGCUUUGUGAAAGUCCAAUUAAGCGUCUUGAUCUAUCUCUAUAGAUCUUAAUGCCUAAUAUGUAAGCAGCUUCACCGAGGUCUUUCAUUGAAAAACUUUUAUUCAAGUAUCCCUUUAUGCAAUCCAGAAAUUCUAUAUCAUUUCCAAUCAACAAUAUGUCAUCCACAUAUAAUAUCAGAAAUGCUACAGAGCUCCCACUCACUUUCUUGUAAAUACAGGCUUCUCCGAAAGUCUGUAUAAAACCAAAUGCUUUGAUCACACUAUCAAAACGUUUAUUCCAACUCCGAGAGGCUUGCACCAGUCCAUAAAUGGAUCGCUGGAGCUUGCACACUUUGUUAGCUCCCUUUGGAUCGACAAAACCUUCCGGUUGCAUCAUAUACAACUCUUCUUCCAGAAAUCCAUUCAGGAAUGCAGUUUUGACAUCCAUCUGCCAAAUUUCAUAAUCAUAAAAUGCGGCAAUCGCUAACAUGAUUCGGACGGACUUAAGCAUCGCUACGGGUGAGAAGGUCUCAUCGUAGUCAAUCCCUUGAACUUGUCGAAAACCUUUUGCGACAAGUCGAGCUUUGUAGACAGUAACAUUACCAUCAGCGUCAGUCUUCUUCUUAAAGAUCCAUUUAUUCUCAAUUGCUUGCCGAUCAUCGGGCAAGUCAACCAAAGUCCAUACUUUGUUCUCAUACAUGGAUCCCAUCUCAGAUUUCAUGGCUUCAAGCCACUUUGCGGAAUCUGGGCUCACCAUCGCUUCUUCAUAGUUUGUAGGUUCAUCAUGAUCUAGUAGCAUGACUUCCAGAAUAGUAUUACCGUACCACUCUGGCGCGGAUCUUACUCUGGUUGAUCUACGAGGUUCAGCAGUAUCUUGAUCUGAAGUUUCAUGAUCAUUAUCAUUGGCUUCCUCACUAACUGGUGUAGGUGUCACUGAAACAGUUUUCUGUGAUGAACUACUUUCCAGUAAGGGAGUAGGUACAGUUACCUCGUCAAGUUCUACUUUCCUCCCACUCACUUCUUUCGAGAGAAAAUCCUUCUCUAGAAAGGAUCCAUUCUUAGCAAUGAAUGUCUUGCCUUCGGAUCUGUGAUAGAAGGUGUACCCAACAGUUUCCUUUGGGUAUCCUAUGAAGACACAUUUCUCCGAUUUGGGUUCGAGCUUAUCAGGUUGAAGCUUUUUCACAUAAGCAUCGCAGCCCCAAACUUUAAGAAACGACAACUUUGGUUUCUUGCCAAACCACAGUUCAUAAGGCGUCGUCUCAACGGAUUUUGAUGGUGCCCUAUUUAACGUGAAUGCGGUCGUCUCUAAAGCAUAACCCCAAAAUGAUAGCGGUAAAUCUGUAAGAGACAUCAUAGAUCGUACCAUAUCUAGUAAAGUAUGAUUACGACGUUCGGAUACACCAUUACGCUGUGGUGUUCCAGGUGGCGUGAGUUGUGAAACUAUUCCACAGUUUUUCAAAUGUACACCAAACUCGCAACUCAAAUAUUCUCCUCCACGAUCAGAUCGUAGGAACUUUAUUUUCUUGUUACGAUGAUUUUCAACUUCACUCUGAAAUUCUUUGAACUUUUCAAAUGUUUCAGACUUAUGCUUCAUUAAGUAGAUAUAUCCAUAUCUGCUUAAAUCAUCUGUGAAGGUGAGAAAAUAACGAUAUCCGCCACGAGCCUCAAUAUUCAUCGGACCACAUACAUCGGUAUGUAUGAUUUCCAACAAAUCUGUUGCUCUCUCCAUAGUACCGGAGAACGGUGUUUUAGUCAUCUUGCCCAUGAGGCAUGGUUCGCAAGUACCAAGUGAUUCAUAAUCAAGUGGUUCCAAAAGUCCAUCAGUAUGGAGUUUCUUCAUGCGCUUUAUACCGAUAUGACCUAAACGACAGUGCCACAAAUAAGUUGCACUUUCAUUAUCAACUCUGCAUCUUUUGGCUUCAACAUUAUGAAUAUGUGUAUUACUACUAUCGAGAUUCAAUAAGAAUAGACCACUCUUCAAGGGUGCAUGACCAUAAAAGAUAUUACUCAUAUAAAUAGAACAACCAUUAUUCUCUGAUUUAAAUGAAUAACCGUCUCGCAUUAAACAAGAUCCAGAUAUAAUGUUCAUGCUCAACGCUGGCACCAAAUAACAAUUAUUUAGGUCUAAUAUUAAUCCCGAAGGUAGAUGUAGAGGUAGCGUGCCGACUGCGAUCACAUCGACUUUGGAACCGUUUCCCACGCGCAUCGUCACCUCGUCCUUAGCCAAUCUUCGCUUAAUCUGUAGCCCCUGUUUCGAGUUGCAAAUAUUAGCAACAGAACCAGUAUCAAAUACCCAGGUGCUACUGCGAGCAUUAGUAAGGUACACGUCAAUAACAUGUAUAUCACAUAUACCUUUGUUCACUUUGCCAUCCUUCUUAUCCGCCAAAUACUUGGGGCAGUUCCGCUUCCAGUGACCAGUCUGCUUGCAGUAGAAGCACUUAGUUUCAGGCUUAGGUCCAGACUUGGGUUUCUUCUCUUGAGCAGCAACUGACUUGCUGUUCUUCUUGAAGUUCCCCUUCUUCUUUCCUUUGCCCUUUUUCUUGAAACUAGUGGUCUUUUGACCAUCAACACUUGAUGCUCUUUCUUGAUUUCUACCUCCGCAGCUUUCAGCAUCGCGAAGAGCUCGGGAAUAGUCUUGUUCAUCCCUUGCAUAUUAUAGUUCAUCACGAAGCUCUUGUAGCUUGGUGGCAGUGAUUGGAGAAUUCUGUCAAUGACGCAAUCAUCUGGAAGAUUAACUCCCAAUUGAAUCAAGUGAUUAUUAUACCCAGACAUUUUGAGUAUAUGCUCACUAACAGAACUGUUCUCCUCCAUCUUGCAGCUAUAGAACUUAUUGGAGACUUCAUAUCUCUCAAUCCGGCCAUUUGCUUGAAAUAUCAACUUCAACUCCUGGAACAUCUCAUAUGCUCCAUGACGUUCAAAACGUCGUUGAAGCCCCGAUUCUAAGCCGUAAAGCAUGGCACACUGAACUAUCGAGUAGUCAUCAGCUUUGCUCUGCCAGACGUUCAUAACAUCUGCUGUUGCUCCAGCAGCAGGCCUGGCACCCAGCGGUGCUUCCAGGACGUAAUUCUUCUUAGCAGCAAUGAGGAUAAUACUCAAGUUACGGACCCAGUCCGUGUAAUUGCUACGAUCAUCUUUCAACUUUGCUUUCUCAAGGAACGCAUUAAAAUUCAACGGAACAACAGCACGAGCCAUCUAUCUACAAUCAACAUAAACAAGCAAGAUACUAUCAGGGACUAAGUUCAUGAUAACUUUAAGUUCAAUUAAUCAUAUUACUAAAGAACUCCCACUUAGAUAGACAUCCCUCUAAUCCUCUAAGUGAUUACGUGAUCCAAAUCAACUAAACCAUAACCGGUCAUCACGUGAGAUGGAGUAGUUUUCAAUGGUGAACAUCGUUAUGUUGAUCAUAUCUACUAUAUGAUUCAUGCUCGACCUUUCGGUCUUCAUGUUCCGAGGCCAUAUCUGCAUAUGCUAGGCUCGUCAAGUUUAACCUGAGUAUUCUGCGUGCGCAACUGUUUUGCACCCGUUGUAUUUGAACGUAGAGCCUAUCACACCCGAUCAUCACGUGGUGUCUCAGCACGAAAAACUUUCGCAACGGUGCAUACUCAGGGAGAACACUUCUUGAUAAUUUAGUGAGAGAUCAUCUUAUAAUGCUACCGUCAAUCAAAGCAAGAUAAGAUGCAUAAAAAGAUAAACAUCACAUGCAAUCAAUAUAAGUGAUAUGAUAUGGCCAUCAUCAUCUUGUGCCUGUGAUCUCCAUCUCCGAAGCACCGUCAUGAUCACCAUCGUCACCGGCGCGACACCUUGAUCUCCAUCGUAGCAUCGUUGUCGUCUCGCCAAUCUUAUGCUUUCACGACUAUCACUACCAUUUAGUAAUAAAGUAAAGCAUUACAUCGCGAUUGCAUUGCAUACAAUAAAGCGACAACCAUAUGGCUCCUGCCAGUUGCCGAUAACUCGGUUACAAAACAUGAUCAUCUCAUACAAUAAAAUUCAGCAUCAUGCCUUGACCAUAUCACAUCACAACAUGCCCUGCAAAAACAAGUUAGACGUCCUCUACUUUGUUGUUGCAUGUUUUACGUGGCUGCUACGGGCUUAAGUAAGAACCAAUCUCACCUACGCAUCAAAACCACAACGAUAGUUUGUCAAAUAGACUCCAUUUUAACCUUCGCAAGGACCGGGCGUAGCCAUACUUGGUUCAACUAAAGUUGGAGAGACAGUCGCCCGCAAGCCAUCUCUGUGCAAAGCACGUCGAGGGAACCGGUCUCGCGUAAGCGUACGCGUAAGGUUGGUCCGGGUCGUCUCAUCCAACAUUACCGCCGAACCAAAGUAUGACAUGCUGGUAGGAAGUAUGACUUGUAUCGUCCACAACUCACUUGUGUUCUACUCGUGCAUAUAACAUCAACAUAAAUAACCUAGGCUCGGAUGCCACUGUUGGGUUUCGUAGUAAUUUAAAAAAUUUCCUACGCACACGCAAGAUCAUGUGAUGCAUAGCAAUGAGGGGGAGAGUGUUGUCUACGUACCCAACGCAGACCGACUGCGGAAGCGAUGACACGACGUAGAGGAAGUAGUCGUACGUCUUCACGAUCCAACCGAUCAAGCACCGAAACUACGGUACCUCCGAGUUUGAGCACACGUUCAGCUCGAUGACGAUCCCCGGCCUCCGAUCCAGCAAAGUGUCGGGGAAGAGUUCCGUCAGCACGACGGCGUGGUGACGAUCUUGAUGAACUACAGCAGCAGGGCUUCGCCUAAACUCCGCUACAGUAUUAUCGAGGAAUAUGGUGGCAGGGGGCACCGCACACGGCUAAGGAACAGAUCACGUGGAUCAACUUGUGUGUUCUAGGGUGCCCCCCUGCCCUCGUAUAUAAAAGAUCCAAGGGGGAGGGUGCGGCCGGCCUAGAGGAGGCGCGCAGGAGGAGUCCUACUCCUACCGGGAGUAGGACUCCCCUCCCGUUCCUUGUCCAACUAGGAGAGGUGGAGGGAGAGAAGGAAAGGGAGGGCGCCGCCCCUCCCUCCUUGUCCAAUUCGGACUAGGGGGAUAGGGGGCGCGCGGCCUACCCUGGCAGCCCCUUCCUCUUCUCCACAUUAGGCCCAUAAGGCCCAUUAACCCCCCGGGGGGUUCCGGUAACCCCCCGGUGCUCCGGUUUUAUCCGAUACUCUUCCGGAACCUUUCCGGUGUCCGAAUAUAGUCAUCCAAUAUAUCAAUCUUUAUGUCUCGACCAUUUCGAGACUCCUCGUCAUGUCCCCAAUCUCAUCCGGGACUCCGAACUCCUUCGGUACAUCAAAACUCAUAAACUCAUAAUACAACUGUCAUCGAAACCUUAAGCGUGCGGACCCUACGGGUUCGAGAACAAUGUAGACAUGACCGAGACACGUCUCCACUCAAUAACCAAUAGCGGGACCUGGAUGCCCAUAUUGGCUCCUACAUAUUCUACGAAGAUCUUUAUCGGUCAGACCGCAUAACAACAUACGUUGUUCCCUUUGUCAUCGGUAUGUUACUUGCCCGAGAUUCGAUCGUCGGUAUCCAAUACCUAGUUCAAUCUCGUUACCGGCAAGUCUCUUUACUCGUUCCGUAAUACAUCAUCUCGCAACUAACCCAUUAGUUGCAAUGCUUGCAAGGCUUAUGUGAUGUGCAUUACCGAGAGGGCCCAGAGAUACCUCUCCGACAAUCGGAGUGACAAAUCCUAAUCUUGAAAUACGCCAACCCAACAUCUACCUUUGGAGACACCUGUAAUGCUCCUUUAUAAUCACCCAGUUACGUUGUGACGUUUGGUAGCACCCAAAGUGUUCUUCCGGCAAACGGGAGUUGCAUAAUCUCAUAGUCAUAGGAACAUGUAUAAGUCAUGAAGAAAGCAAUAGCAACAUACUAAACGAUCGGGUGCUAAGCUAAUGGAAUGGGUCAUGUCAAUCAGAUCAUUCUACUAAUGAUGUGACCUCGUUAAUCAAAUAACAACUUAUUGUUCAUGGUCAGGAAACAUAACCAUCUUUGAUUAACGAGCUAGUCAAGUAGAGGCAUACUAGUGACACUUUGUUUGUCUAUGUAUUCACACAUGUAUUAUGUUUCCGGUUAAUACAAUUCUAGCAUGAAUAAUAAACAUUUAUCAUGAUUAUAAGGAAAUAAAUAAUAACUUUAUUAUUGCCUCUAGGGCAUAUUUCCUUCAGUUCUUGCCUGUGUUGCAAGGUGUGAAGUUGAGUAAGACUCAAGACCUGACCAUGGCAGAAAAUAGAAAGAGAAUGAAAAGUCAUUCCCUAUGCCUCAGUCAUAGGUUCUAUAAAGUAUGCUAUGCUGUAAACCAGACAUAUUGUAUACCUUGCUCUGAGUUUGGCAAAAGAAUACAAUUUUGAUCUAAUAGUAGAUCACUGGACAACGGUCAAAAAUAUCCUUAGUAAGGACUAAGGAGAUGUUUCGCGAUUAUGGAGGUGAUAAAAAGUUCGUCGUAGAGGGUUACGUCGAUACGAGUUUUGGCACUGAUCCAGAUGACUCUAAAGUCUCAAUCUGGAUACAUAUUGAAAGUGGGAGCAAUUAGCUAGAGUAGCUCCAUGCAGAGCAUUGUAGACAUAGAAUAUUUGCAAAAUACAUACGACUCUGAAUGUGACAGACCCGUUGACUAAGCUUCUCUCACGAGCAAAACAUGAUCACACCUUAGUACUCUUUGGGUGUUAAUCACAUAAGCGAUGUGAACUAGAUUAUUGACUCUAGUAAACCCUUUGGGUGUUGGUCACAUGAUGAUGUGAACUAUGGGUGUUAAUCAUAUACAGAUAUGGAUAUUAGUGUUAAAUCACAUGGUGAUGUGAACUAGAUUAUUGACUCUAGUGCAAGUGGGAGACUGAAGGAAAUAUGCCCUAGAGGCAAUAAUAAAGUUAUUAUUUAUUUUCUUAUUUCAUGAUAAAUAUUUAUUAUUCAUGCUAGAAUUGUAUUAACCGGAAACAUGAUACAUGUGUGAAUACAUAGACAAACAUAUAGUCACUAGUAUGCCUCUACUUGACUAGCUCAUUAAUCAAAGAUGGUUAUGUUUCCUAACCAUAGACAUGUGUUGUCAUUUGAUUAAUGGGAUCACAUCAUUAGGAGAAUGAUGUGAUUGACAUGACCCAUUCCGUUAGCCUAGCACUUGAUCGUUUAGUAUGUUGCUAUUGCUUUCUUCAUGACUUAUACAUGUUCCUGUAACUAUGAGAUUAUGCAACCCCCGUUUACCGGAGGAACACUUUGGGUACUACCAAACGUCACAACGUAACUGGGUGAUUAUAAAGGAGUACUACAGGUGUCUCCAAAGGUACAUGUUGAGUUGGGUAUUUCGAGAUUAGGUUUUGUCACUCCGAUUGUCGGAGAGGUAUCUCUGGGCCCUCUCGGUAAUGCACAUCACUAUAAGCCUUGCAAGAAAUGUAACCAAUGAGUUGGUUAUGGGAUGAUGCAUUACGUAAUGAGUAAAGAGACUUGCCGGUAACGAGAUUGAACUAGGUAUUGGAUACCGACGAUCGAAUCUCGGGCAAGUAACAUACCGAUGACAAAGGGAACAACGUAUGUUGUUAUGCGGUUUGACCGAUAAAGAUCUUCGUAGAAUAUGUAGGAACCAAUAUGGGCGUCCAGGUCCCGCUAUUGGUUAUUGACCGAGAAUGGUUCUAGGUCAUGUCUACAUAGUUCUCGAACCCGUAGGGUCCGCACGCUUAACGUUACGAUGACAGUUUUAUUAUGAGUUUAUAAGUUUUGAUGUACCGAAGUUUGUUCGGAGUCCCGGAUGUGAUCACGGACAUGACGAGGAGUCUCGAAAUGGUCGAGACAUAAAGAUUGAUAUAUUGGAAGCCUAUGUUUGGACAUCGGAAUGGUUCCGGGUGAAAUCGGGAUUUUACCGGAACACCGGGGGGUUACCGGAACCCUCCCGGGGGUUAAUGGGCCUUAGUGGGCCAAGAGGGAGAAGAGGAGGGCCGGAUAGGGCAGGCCGCGCGCCCCCUCCCCCCUAGUCCGAAUAGGACAAGGAAGGGGGGGCUUCGCCCCCCUUUCCUCUUUCCCCUCCCCCCUUUCCUUCUCCACCAAGGCAAGAGGGGGGAGUCCUACUCCCGGUGGGAGUAGGACUCCUCCAGGUGCACCCCUAGGGGGCCGGCCGCACCUCCCCCCUCCCUCCUUUAUAUACGGGGGCGGGGGGCAUCCCAUAGGCACACAAGUUGAUCUACGGAUCGUUCCUUAGCCGUGUGCGGUGCCCCCCUCCACCAUAUUCCACCUCGGUCAUAUCGUCGCAGAGUUUAGGCGAAGCCCUGCGCCGGUAGAACAUCAUCAUCGUCACCACGCCGUCGUGCUGACGGAACUCAUCUCCGAAGCUUUGCUGGAUCGGAGCCCGGAGAUCGUCAUCGAACUGAACGUGUGCUGAACUCGGAGGUGCCGUACGUUCGGUGCUUGGAUCGGUCAGAUCGUGAAGACGUACGACUACAUCAACCGCGUUGUCAUAACGCUUCCGCUUAACGGUCUACGAGGGUACGUGGAUAACACUCUCCCCUCUCGUUGCUAUACCAUCACCAUGAUCUUGCGUGUGCAUAGGAAUUUUUUCGAAAUUACUACGUUUCCCAACAGGGGCCACCAUGUUGGCAGACUUCUCUUCUUCUCCCUGGUACGACUCGUCAUAGCGCUUCCAGCACUUCCAGGCCGGGUGGCCUGGCUUGCCAAAGAUCUGGCACACCACCUUGGGGGCAGGAGCAGAGUUGUUGUAGUUGCCCCUGCCACCUCCACCGCGACCGUUUUGCUUGGUGUAGGAACGGCCGCGAUCGCCACCAGCGUUGCCGCCGCCUUGUCUGUCGCGGCCGCGGUCACCACCACCGCGGCCACGCCCUCGUGUUGCCGCAUUUGCCGAGGACUGCGAUCCUCCAUGGCGAAGAUUCAUCCGUGUCUCGAAGCUAACAAGCUGUGAGUACAGCUCUGGCACGGUGACUGGCUCCGCACGGGAGCACAUGGCCGAAACAACCGGGUCGAAGUCUUCUUCAAGCCCGGCGAGGAUGUGUGAAACGACAUCCUCCUCGUCCACCCUUUUGCCUGCUGCGACAAGUUCGUCACAGAGGGUUCGGAUCUUGCCGACGUAGUCGGUGAUGGAGCUGUUUCCCUUCUGGAGAUUGGCGAGGGCGAUCCGCACGUUCACGGUCGCGGCACGGGUUUAUGAGGACAGCAUCCCCUGGACCGUGUUCCACAGCUCGGCCGAGGUGUGGCAAGUGGCGACCUGAAUUGCCAUCUCAUGGGGCAGCGUUGUCAGAAGAUACGAGAAAACUUGCUGAUCUUGUGCAUACCAGGUUUGGAACUCCGGGUUGCGGGUCUUCUUCUUGGUUUUCCCGUCGGAGUCCGUGAUCUCCAACUGCAUGGGCGGCACCUGAUGAUCGAGGUCGAGGUACUUCUGCAUCUGGGCACCGCGGAUGGCAGACAGCACCGUCGCCCGCCAUAGCGCCUCGUUGCCCUUGGUGAGCUUCUCCUAGACGACGUGAGCGAAUGGAGAGGAUGGGAAGGUACUUGAAGAUGUUGCCAUGGAUGAGCUCGAGAGGUGCUCUGAUUACCAUGUAAGAGGAAUUGGUUUGCGAUAAGCGUAUGCAUCGUAGCAGGGACGCGUGCGUGUUUAUAUAGCACAAGGAGUACAUGCGGCGGCAGGUUGUUGGAGUCUUGACCCAUCCUCCAAGCUAUACAAGAGAUAGGAUCAAAUCUUCCUAACAACCUACCUUUGUUACAAGAUACACAACGCACACAAUAACGUGACAUAUGUGUCACAUCUAAACUAACUAUCAAGCCUAUCAUUUACAUCCUCCCUCAAUCUCAACAUGUGAAGGUUUAGAUUGGUCUUGAAGGCUUGAAGUUGUCGAGCUUGCAAGGUUUUGUAAAACCAUCAGCAACUUGAUCACCUGUUGGAAUGAACCGUACUCAGUGUUGGCCUUCUAAAAGGCAGAGGGAUGGGAUGGGAUGGGAUGGGAGUACUCAGUGUUGGCCUUCUAAAAGGAGAAUUUCCUCAUCUCAAAAGUAUUGUUUAGGGGUGCUGAUUUUCUAUGCAUUUAUACAUAUACCCGCCGUAUCCCCGUAAGUCUAUUUUCAGAAAAUGCCGUUCUCCUGUAUCGCCGUAUCCGUAUCCCCGUACCCAUAUCCCCGUACCAUGUAACAUAGGCAGAGGCAGUAACCGACAUAGCGCUGUGUUCAUCGCCAUGGGAUGGGAUGGGAGUAUCAGUGUUGGCCUUCUAAAAGGAGUAUAUGUAGAUCUCCAUGCCAACACAGAAUCAUCAGGGAAUUAACAGGGACAUGCCGAUUGACCAAUGCAUUGAUCAUGCAUGAUGCAGGUCCGCGUCCGACACCAGUCCGCGUGCUUCUCGUGGGUACUGUGCACGCAACUGCUCACACUCCGGUGGUAGAUGCCAUGUGCGGCUGUGCUUGGUCCGCGGCAAUGUAGCUAAGAUAUGUGUGCUGUGACUGACUUAUGUUUUUUUGGCGAAUGACUGAGAAUUGAAUUAAAUCCGUAAGAGCAUCUACACAACUGGGCUCCCCAAACCCUUCCUAUAUGCUCAGGCGGACAGCCCCGUCACUGACCACACAUAAAAAAAAA
RNAcentral lists this long non-coding RNA (52491 nucleotides) under Triticum aestivum (bread wheat). RNAcentral's name for it is "long non-coding RNA (TAES_LNC008196)". Lineage: Eukaryota; Viridiplantae; Streptophyta; Magnoliopsida; Poales; Poaceae. The record is from RNAcentral.